UAUCAUCAACUAGGAAUUCUAUCUUGAUGCAUUUGUUACACAGGGUAGUGGUGUUACAACUAUUGGUUUUCAACUCAGGCUCAAUAAGGCAAAAUGUGGAACCAUUGUUCUGGUAAGUAUAAUCAUCUAUAAAAUUUAAGUUUAAUUAUAUAUAAAAAUGAAUCACUCUCAUUUCAGUCCCUCAAUUUUUGAUGUUACUAAGUUAGUUCCUAAUAAAUAUAAAUUACCAUUUUGGUCCAAUUUUUUUCAAAAUAGAACCACAUCAACCCUUCAUUCUUCACCCGUUUGUUAACGUUGAUGGAGUUGAUCAAGGGCACAUUAAGUGCUGACAUGACCACAUGUGGUGAUUCCAAGCUCAAAAGUUAUCGUGCUCCUAUGUAUCGCUAGAUCCAAUAGGGAAAUCAAGACUACAUAAUUAUGGUUUGAAAAUAAUUAGAUUAGUUUGGUUGACUUUUGUUGAUUUGGAAAAUAUCGAUGGAUUUGGGAGAGUUGAUUUUAAUUGAUUUUGAAAUAUUAAUAAUAUAUCAUUAUUUUAAUUCAAUGGAACUAAUAGCUUAGAGACGGUGUCUUUGCAUUUUUAGAGAAGUUAGAGAUGACUCAAACCAUGACCUUACUAUAAGAAAUCCGUAAAAUUCAGUAAGUGGUAAGAUAGUUUUGAAUUAUUUUUAUAUGAAAUUAAUAGCUUUGAGGCAUAGACCUUUUUUCCCAUUUUCAGAGAAGUUAGAGAGAACUCGAAUCAUGACCUUACUAUAAAAAAACCAUAAAAUUCAUUUAGGAGAUAAAAUCAUUUUUAAUUAUUUUUUAUAUGGAACUAAUAGCUUUGAGUCAGUAUUGCCCGUAGACCUUCUUCCAAUAAAAUUACUUAUUUCGUCACACUUUGUAACAUUAUAUGUAAUGAAAAUUAGGACUCAUGUUAGUUUUGUGGCCUAUUGUUAUUUCCUCACAGGUUUGCAAACAUAAAUAAAUAAACAAAUCUAUAAAUUAAUACAAAGAUGGGAAAAUAAAAAACUUCAUGGUGCAGGUGGUUAGGAAGCAAAAAAAAUCAUGGCUUUUGUGAGGUGCAAAGAUUUGGACAAAGAGUUCUUUAAUUGUAUGAGCCAGUGAAAAACACAACUCCUUUAGCAGUGGGUAACAUCUUCUACGUCUUUGUCGUAAACCUCUUCCGUAUCUAUGCCUAAUGGAGAUAGUAACAUUUCUUUGCUCCAAUGGAACGAAACACAUGGGAUAUCCACGAAGAGGCUGGUUCAUGUGCAUAAAUUGUGGCCCCAAGUUUGGAAAAGAGAACAUUUUAGGGAUGACCCAUGUUUUGUUGUGAGUGGCUUACCCGUGAAGUAGUAGUGGAUAUAGUGCUGGAUAUAGCGGUGGAUAUAGUGGUGGAUAUAGUGGUGGAUAUAGUGGUGGCUAUAGUGGUGGCUAUAGUGGUGGUUAGCUUUGUUAUUGGUAUCGAAAGUGGUGUCUGAAACUCGUCCAUUGUAGGAAUGAAUGAAGUGAGGUUUUCAGGAUUUUUGUUUAGUAAAGUGAGAGUGAAAGUUUAUGAAGGUAGUAUAAAAAGGGGUUGANNNNNNNNNNNNNNNNNNNNNNNNNNNNNNNNNNNNNNNNNNNNNNNNNNNNNNNNNNNNNNNNNNNNNNNNNNNNNNNNNNNNNNNNNNNNNNNNNNNNUCCAAUUUUUUCUAGAAACAUUCAAACUUAAAACAACGCCAUUUUGUAUCAUCUUCUUCCCCUUCUCCAACUCCAACAAAAACACAUAUUUUAGUAUCGCAAGAUUUCUGUAAGUACCAUAUUAGUCCCUAGUGAUAUAUACGAAAUUUUGAAGCCUAAAUUGGGUAUCUUCACCUCAGAUUUUCACCCUAAAAUAAUUUUAGGUCUCAUAAGGGUAAUUUGGAUCCAAGAAGGGUUAAUGCUUCUUGAAAUUACAAAGAGAAUGGGAAUCAGGAACUAGGUACAACUGAGGAAAAUUUUGAUGGAAAAGGCUCGGAAUGAUAUCCAUAAAAAGCUUGAGGAAUGAAUGUUUUCUUCAUUAUCAAGGAAUUUANNNNNNNNNNNNNNNNNNNNNNNNNNNNNNNNNNNNNNNNNNNNNNNNNNNNNNNNNNNNNNNNNNNNNNNNNNNNNNNNNNNNNNNNNNNNNNNNNNNNAGGAAUUUAGAAAAACCAAAAAAUAUUAUUGCAAAUACAAAGCCAAAUUUGAAUCUCUGAAAUUUUAUUUUAUAUUUUUAUUUAUUAAAAAUAAUUACUGGAUGAAGCUUUUCUUGAUAUCAAUUAUGAAGCUUUUGUUGAUAUUCAUUAUGAAGCUUUUGUUGUUUUUGAUGUAAAUUUAUGGGAUUGCACUUCUGGUUUUACUGUUUGGAGUUCCCUUCNNNNNNNNNNNNNNNNNNNNNNNNNNNNNNNNNNNNNNNNNNNNNNNNNNNNNNNNNNNNNNNNNNNNNNNNNNNNNNNNNNNNNNNNNNNNNNNNNNNNUUCACUUACUUAAUCAAAUAAAAAGAACACACCAGAAAUGAGAGUAAUAACCUUUCAACAAAUUGGCACCUUGCGAGGGACGAUUUGUUGAGAGAGGAAAAAUAAACCCUCUCGACGAAAAUUUCUUUCAACAAGGACUAGUAGGUGGUGCAAUGUGUGCAUCUUAGUUAGAUUAAUGAUGGAACAUUUUGAAAUUACCACGAAUUGAUCGACUCUUAUGUUUGUGUGUGCUAAAAUGUAAUCGUACAUUUCGUAACAUUGGAUUGUCUGUAAUGAAAUGUAUAACUUAAUCCUCCUGAAAACUACCAUCCAUGUGAAGAAUAUUUCAAGAUUCUUGAAGAUUCCAAUAUUUUAUUAACUCAAGACUAAGAUUUAUAUUCUUCGUUCACUUGAGUAAUGAAUUGCACUUUUGAUUUUAUAUAAUAUUCAAUCAAGCUAUUAUGGACCAAUAUUCUAGAAUUAAUCCACCUAGAAUAAAACGGAAUCACAUUAAAUUUUGGAUUCUCAUUCUCAAGAGUCAACAUAUUAAUAGCCUCCCACCUAUUGGUUAUGAAACUUUGAAAAUGCGAAGUUUAAUAUGGCAAGUUUUCUUGUAUACAAUAUAUGUAUGUAUGUGAGUUGUAAAUAAAUGUCCCACAUAUGUUAGUUUUAAAAUAUAAUCUCAUUUCAUUCGUACAAAAGGAAAUGACUUCUAAGGGAUUGAAUCACCAAACUAUCUUACACUUUGGCUAAUCACUUAUUUCAGGCCAAAUGUUUCCUAAUUUAACUUUUUUAUUUGGUGUCUCUUCGAGGGCUGCUCCUUGGUGAUUUAUUUUUAAUAGUAAAAAAUUAAAAUUCCAUAAUAAUCCAAUUUACUAUAUUCAUCAUUUCUUCUUAUUUCUAUCAUUUCGUUAUUUAUAUGAUUUAUAAUAUUGUCAUAAUAUUUAGUUUUUUACUCUAUUUUAUAUGUGAAUUUAAUAUUUAUCUGAAAUUGUUUAUUUCACAAGUUAUAUUUUUUAAUAAGUUUCUAAUGGAUUCUAUUUUGGUACGUAAAAAUCAAUUUUGCAAUAUGAUAAAAAUAUUUUAUGCAAAUUUUUACAACAUUUUGCCUAACCACGACCCCAAUGUAGCUUAGCAAUGACUUGCCACCCUUUGAGUUUAAUGAUUGGCCUUUUGAGUUCCAUCAAACUUCUAUCUUCACAUCCUUACUUCAUGCCCGAAUGACACUCUUCAUGGAAGUCAUUCCACGUGGAGUUCGUUUUUGAGCAAUGAUUUGCUUGUUUUGUGGAGUCGGUUUAGUUUCGUCACCACUAUGAGAACCAUGAUCACCACUUUGGGAAGCCAUUGAUGAAGUUUAUUGAGGGUUUAUGCGAGUAUGCGGGUUUAUGAGAGUAUGAGGGUUUUAUGAGAGAAUGAUCUUUCUUUUCGAUUAAGUUUGAGAGUGUUGAGGUAACUGAUUCACCUUUUAGAUAUUUAAACCGUAGUAACAAUUCAACAAUGCUUUUUGUAGAUGGCAUUGUUAAUAAGACAUCUUCAACAGUGCAUAUUAACAGUAGCGCUGUUGUAUUGAUAAAGUGACGCAUAAUCACUCAACCAUUAAUAUUUCAAGAAACGAAGAGACCCAUAACGACUCAACCAUUAAUGUUUUUAUAUUUAAAAUGUAUAAAUCAACAGUACAUAAUUAUGAAAGUGUUGUUACUUUAUCAUAUUCAAAAGUGCAUAUUUAAGGAUGUGAUGUGGAAUAGAUGUACACUAACAUCGUUUUCUAUAACAUAUGUUGUUAAACAUAACUCAUUCAAGUAAGCGCUAACGUUAUUGAUGUUCAACAGCGUUGUUUCAAGAAUGCUUUGUUGAAGUUACUAAUAUUGACAAUNNNNNNNNNNNNNNNNNNNNNNNNNNNNNNNNNNNNNNNNNNNNNNNNNNNNNNNNNNNNNNNNNNNNNNNNNNNNNNNNNNNNNNNNNNNNNNNNNNNNCAAUACUUUCUUUAAUAUGCGUUGUUGAUGUUCUUCUGCCUCGUUUUCAACAGCGUCGUUCAAAUUUGAAGUGUGGAAUGGUCGUUGUUAAUUAUGAUAUUUGGCGUAGUUGUUAUGUAUGACAUUGCAUCGUCUUCCUCGGGACUACUAGCAUAUGAGAUAUUUAUCUCCUGUGUCAUGGAUCCUCUUGGGAUCAACACUUCUAGUAUGGAGAUUAUUGUUGAGAAUCCUAGAGAGCAUAUGGUCAAUGAGAAUCUCAUUCACACGAUGAGUAUUUACAAUUUUGUAGGUGAAUUGAUGUAUCAAGAGUACCAUAGGAAUACUAUUAAUUUGGNNNNNNNNNNNNNNNNNNNNNNNNNNNNNNNNNNNNNNNNNNNNNNNNNNNNNNNNNNNNNNNNNNNNNNNNNNNNNNNNNNNNNNNNNNNNNNNNNNNNUAUACCUGAUGAGGAAGAAGGUGGUGAGCAAGGUGAGCAAAACCAAGAACAACAAAAUGACGGGGCUUCUAAUAUGCCUCAUGGAUCUUCAUUUUGUUUGGCUCAUAUGGAUGCCAUGGAACAAUGCAUGGAUGAUCUUUAUUAGGUCUUAAGAUGUUUACUUAGAAAGAAUAUAGACUAGGAUGAACCCUAAAGGAAGUCUGACAAGCUAAACUCAAUCAUAACUAAAAUGAGACUUACAUGCAUANNNNNNNNNNNNNNNNNNNNNNNNNNNNNNNNNNNNNNNNNNNNNNNNNNNNNNNNNNNNNNNNNNNNNNNNNNNNNNNNNNNNNNNNNNNNNNNNNNNNAUACAUGAUUUACAUGCACAUGCAUAAAUACAUGAUCAUAUGAUUUUGAUGCAUUUAAAAAGAGUUUUAAAUCAUACAUCAUUCAAAGGCAUGCGUCAUAAUUUUACAAAUCAUGUAGGAGGUUCAGAUCACAUUGAAAUAACUUUUAGAAAAACCUUUUAUCAAUUAAGGGUUGUUAUAAUUUCUGGUUUCUUGUAUUUUUAAAAAUCGUUAAUUGAUUGAAUAUAGGGAUAAUCGAUUAUAUACAGCAGAAAAAAAAAAUUUGUAUUUUAACCCAAGUUUUUCAUAUUGCUUAAUAACAUACAUAUCAUUGAGGUUAGAACACACACAAAAAAUAAAGAGUUUUCACAAAGUUCUGAAAAUCAUUGCUCUUUCACUUUCAUAUCUUUAGAGAGAUUUUCAAAGUGUUCUGUUGAAAAAGAGAGAAAAGAGAGAAUCUUUAGAUAUAUUUACAAAGAGCUUAAUUUUCAUAUCUUUUGUAAAGAAACAUUGCAUCUCGUAUUUUUUAUAUUCUGAGUUGUGACAAUUGUAGAAGGGUUCUUAGAUUCUAGAUGAGUGAAUAUUCUAUACACAUAGUGGCAUCAAUAAUUUGAAAGAUUUACACAAGGCGUAAACAUAUUCUCUUGGUGUGUUUAUUAUCACCAUUUAUAGAGAAUUGGUUUGGGAAAUCCUAGAUGUGGUUAGGUAUUAGAGAUUGUGUUUACAAGGCAAGAAUUCCUGGGUAGAGUGAGAAAUCAAUUGGGUCCAGAAUCGUGAACGGUGUGGUAUCCUAGUAGGCGAGUUGAGUUGUUAAAACCGAGUUUAGGGCUCAAUGGAUCCAACAAGGAAUUUCUUGUGUGUUGUAUUGGAAAUGUGUAUCUAAGAAACAAUUUUUUUCCAAUAGUGAAGAAAAAUAUCCCUAGAUCAGGAGGGGAGGCCUGGAUGUAGUUUGCAAGUGGACCUACAAACGAACCAGGAUAAAAGCCAUGUCUCAUUUUUCAUAACCUAUAACUCUUUACAUUUUCGUAUUACAUGAGUUACUUAACUUGACAAGCAUAUCAUUCUGAUUCUGAGUUAUUUGCAUAGUUUGUUCUGUGAAUUUACUGUUCUUAAUCAUCUUUAAAAGUGCAUAUAAGUUUAGUUAAAUCUUGACAAUCUUGGUGGUCAAAGAAAACUGUUUUUAUAGAACAAGAUAUGAAUAAUCGAUUAUUUGCACAAUGAGUUCAUCGAUUAUAGUUGGUGUUAAUCUAUUAAACAAUGAGUGAAUUUAUAAAAUAUGUUUGUUAAUCGAACAACAAUAAUUGUAUAUCGUAUCACCUAUUCAACCCCUCUAGUUGAGUUACAGAGCCAUGUGGGACCUAACAAUCAUGUGGAGAUCUUUCUUCCAAGGGAGCAGAAUCCAACAUUAAUCCAAUUGUGAAUGAAGCCAAAUGACAUUGUUAGAAUAAAUUAGACCAACACUAAAUGAAACCAACCAGAAGUUACUAUCAAACAGGAUUUCAAAGAAGGCAAUGAAGAGAUGCAGAAAUAAGUGUUGAUUGGUAUCUUUUUAUUUCAGCUACUCGUUCAUAAACAGGAAGCUUGUUAAAAAUUGACCAAUCACACAAAAUUUGGAGGAAAAGAUCAAUCAAGUGGGAGUUACAAAUGAAGAUGACAAUAAAUAGAUGCAAAAUGUUAUACUUUCUGCUACACAAUCAACAUAAUUAGGCAGCAAUGACGAACCAGAAUAAUGAGGUAAUCAAGGUAAUCAGGGAACGUUACUUUGGCAGCACAAAAGGUUUUCACAAAAAUCAUAACCACUAUAAGAAUAGAGAAUUUCACAUACAAUAAGAGGACACUGAAAAUUACGUUCACACAUACAACACACACAUAUACACAAAGAUAUCAUACCACAAUUAGAAAGCAACCCUUACACAUAUUCAUAAGCAAUAAAAGGAAAUAGACAACAUUACAGAGAUAAAAGCUGCAAGCAAUAAGCACUUUGAAUACACAUGCACCUACAACACAAGUUAUCACAUAUCACAUAUAUAAUAGAGGCAAAAGACACAAUUAUCAGAAAUCACAUACAUACACCUCAAAUCAUGCAUACACAGCAAGAAGCCAUUCUAAUAGGCAUAUCACACAUACACACAAUAUAUCAAUCAAGGAACACAACAUGUAGAACAUAAAAGAAGAAUCAAUUCGAGAUGACGAAGAAGUGAAGAAUCCAACCAAGGUAGAAAAGGUGCAAUGAAUAUCCAAAAAUAGGAAUGCAAGGUUUAAAGGAAAGGCUUAUUUUCAGGUAAGCAUUUUAUCCUAUUUAUCUUAACAAUUAUAAGAAAAUACAUCUCCGUCAUGUUUGUGUUAUAUAUAUCAAAAUAAAGACAUACAAAUUCUAUUUGCAUCCAUCCUUAAAGUAAAGAAUUUUACCUCGUGACGACAUCAUCUCCUAUGUGAAUUCUCUAUCCGGCUUAGCCUUAAGUGACCCUAUGGUGGUCCCAAGGCGUAAUUCUUGAGCCAACGUCAAUACCGACAUCACACUAUCGUUUGUCGUUCCAAUGUAAUGACUCGAAUACCUCGAGAGAUAUUUUUAUUCCCUUCAAGAGCGUGAAUCAAUUCGGUCCACCAUAAGCGAGAGUACCUGAAAUCACCCUUACCCUUGUAAUACUCUUACGAAAGAACCCUGUGGUUUCCUCAAAAAAUGGAACCCAUUCAUGAAGAGGGAGGAAUGGUGGAGAUUCUCAUUCGAUUCAUGUCAUGGAGAAGAAGAAUAAAGAAAUGGAGAAGAUGGAGGAAAAGGGAUAAAGUGAUUUUAACCUGCACUUCGAACCACCACAGUGGAAGGUGGUCCUCAUUGUGAAGGUUUCUGCCGCCAAUCUUGGCCUCCGUCCAUACAAGCUAGCUAUCAUUGCCUCCCAUUGGUGAGAACCAAAGUCGUUGUCGUUGGAAUUGAAGAGAAGAAAGAGGACGAGAUUAGGGAUGCUCCAUGUGUCAUGGACGUGUUAUUGGUAAGAAUAAAUAUAUUUAAAUUAAAAUUUAAUUAUUAAAUAUUUUUCUAACAAAUCAGAAGCUCAUGGAACAAUAUGUAGUGGCACAAACAGUGAGACAACAGAUGUGCUCUGGUCAUAUCUUCGGUUCCCUUUGUGCAAUUGUCAUUCAGUUACCCUUUGUUUUGCUUAGACUUUAUAUUUUUAUUAUUAUGUACUUCACAUAUAUUCUUUAUCCAUAUCAUGUAUAUUUUGCAUCAUUUAUGUUUUGCUUUUAUGCCUUAUUAUUCCUUGUUAUCUACUUGACAAUUUUCAUGUCCCACAAAAAAUAUUAAUUAGUUAGUAUUCAUUUUUAUACAUUUGUAUACUUCUCGUUUUGAACUAUUUGUUUUUCUAAUGAAGUAGAAUCUAAUAAAAAUUAUAUUUUGAUAAUAAGAAUAAAUAAAAACAAUUUUGUCACCUAAAUGAAUUUUAUGAAAUUUUUAUCGUAAGGUCAUGGUUCAGUCGUGUUUAACUAAUCUAAAAAAUGGAAGAAGGUCUAUGACCAAUACUGUCUAUAAGCUAUUAGUUCCAUAUAAAAAAAUAAUUAAAAAGAUUUUAUCUUCUAAAUGAAUUUUAUGGAUUUUUUAUAGUAAGAUCAUGGUUACAAAAAAUAAUUAAAAACUAUUUUAUCACCUAAUUGAAAGCAACUUUUAUAGUAAGGUCAUGGUUUUAGUCAUCUCUAACUUAUCUAAAAAUGGAAAGAUUACUAGAUUAGGGAAGAUUGGUCAAAAUUUGAACUUAAUAUUAGUGAUUAGUUUAGAGAAUACAAUGUAUAGAUUACUAGAUUAGGGAAUAUAAUGUAUUAUUUUGGUUUAACCAAUUAAUCAAAACAAUACCAUUUUUGUUCUAGUAUUGUAAUUAUACUUUAUAAUUUCUAUUCUGAAUACAAUUGACCAGUGAAUGCAUUUUUUGUUCUGUGUUGUUUAUUCUUUUUAAGUGUUCUAUGUUUUGGUUUGAUGAAUGUGUUAUUAUUAUAGUUUUAGUGUUGUGGAUGCAAAUGUGCUAUUGUUACAAGUUUUGGUGUUGUGUUAUGUUGUUCUUAUAUUUGUUUACUAAUUGUUGGAUUCGGAGCUUUAGCUUCUUGAGCUGAUUUGGAAAGGAGAAUGUUUUCUCUGCUAGGGCAAAAUACUAGAAAUCUCCAAACUUCUUGGAACUUAUAAUUAUUCCUCUGUUUGCUUUCUCUUCUCCAACUUUCUUGGAUUCGGUCCCAUGGCCAAAAUGCCCACUGCUGAACCCCUCAUUCCUUGAAAUUUCUUAGGUGACUCCUCUACCUCACCGGGGAAGUCCAAUCCAGAUCCCAUACUACCCGUGAUAAAGUCAUUUGCACAAGCAUUAAAAAACUCAAGUGACAUUGCACUCUCACAACUGCCUCAACCUUGCAUUAAAGGUGAAGCCAUUGCUAUAAAGAUCCUUGAAGAGGACUAUCAAGAAGGUCUUAGGCGGUGCAAAUCUCACCUACAUGGGAGAAUCAUCCUUUCUAAAGGAGACACUCCUCUCAAGUUUGAGGAAAUCAGAGCUAAGUUGGUCUCGCUAUGGAGUAACAUAGGGAAAUGGAGCAUGGUCUCCUUGGGACGAGGCUACUAUGAUUUCUCAUUCUCAUCUCUGGAGGACAUGAGAAGUGUUUGUGCUGUAGGGGCUUGGAGUCUUCGCCCAGGUUUUCUUAGAUUGUAUCUAUGGUCUCCAGAUUUCAAUCCAGCUUUGCAGAAGUUCUCCCAUGUUCAAUGUUGGGUAAAAAUUGUAGGUUUACCCCAGGAAUAUUGGAGCCCAAGAAUCAUCUUCUCCAUUGCAGGGGGAAUAGGAACACCAAUCUCGCUGGAUGAGGCCACAAACAAUCGCACAUUUGGACAUUUUGCAAGGGUGUUAGUGGACAUUGAUCUGAAGACUGAUUUGCCUAACCAAAUCCUAGUGGAAAGAGAAGGUUAUGCCUUCUUUGUUGAGCUUGAGUAUGAAAAGCUUCCCCAAUUCUGUAAUGGUUGUCAAACCAUAGGCCAUUUGGUCACUAACUGCAGGAAAAGGAUGAAGGAAGCACCUGUAAAUGUCCCUCUGCAAAAGAAGCAGGUGGCUGAGAAGGCUUCCAAGAAGAGCACAGGAAAGGAUUUUGUAAUAAACCUGGAAAUAGAUCACAAUGAAGAGAUUAAUCUUCAAAAUGUUACAAGAGUUGAGGACACUCCAGUGGUAUCGCAAAGUGCAGAGGACAUGGCUCACAUUGAUGAAAAUGUGGUUGAGGACAUGGCUCACAUUGAUGAGACUGUGGUUGAGGACUCUUUACCUGGUUUAGAGCAAAAGGACAAUGACCCCUUAGUUGGUCUCGAGCUCAAUGAGGAAGUGGAAUUUCAUGUGGUGGAAGCAAUGGAUAAUCCUAGAGCUGAACAUGACAUGAGGUUGCUUGGCAGGCUCUAGGAUGAUGAGGGUAUUGAUGAAGAAGUGGAUGAUGAAAGUAUAUUCAUAGCUGUUAUUUCCAGGUCUCAAAAGAAAAAACAGANNNNNNNNNNNNNNNNNNNNNNNNNNNNNNNNNNNNNNNNNNNNNNNNNNNNNNNNNNNNNNNNNNNNNNNNNNNNNNNNNNNNNNNNNNNNNNNNNNNNAUUCAAAUUCCAAAAAAUGUGGCUGCACCAUCCUGACUGUGCUAAAGUGGUGGAGGAAAUCUGGAAGCAGGACAUCUUUGCUUGUAAGAUGUCUAUCUUGACUCAGAAGCUAAAGCUGUUAAGGAACAAGCUCAAGGUAUGGAAUGUUGAAAUCUUUGGCAUGGUGCAACAUAAUGUCUAGCUGGCCUUAGAAGCAGUGGAUUCUAUCCAGGCAAAUAUAGCUUUACAUGGUCCUAAUGAUCAUAAUUUGGAGGCUGAUAGGGAUGCUCAGCAAUCCCUUUUGCAGGCUUUAACAAUUGAGGAAGAAUUCUGGAGGCAAAAGUCUAGGAUUAAUUGGCAUAACAGUGGAGAUAGAAACACUAGUUUCUUCCAUAGAGUCACAAAGAUCGGGAACUCUACCAAGUCCUUAACUGUGCUCAGAUCAGGGGGGUGCUUAAUUACUGAUCAAACAGAGAUUGAGAACUUGGUGUUGAAUUAUUUCCAAAAUCUAUUUGCUGCUCCUAACCACAUUGUCCAUAAUCACAUGAUCAACAAUGUAGUUCCUACUGUGAUCACUGACACUGAGAAUUCUAGGCUCUCAUCCACCCCUUCUCAUGAUGAAAUCAAGUCUGCUGUUUUUGGCAUGAAUGGGGAUGGAGCACCAGGGCCUGAUGGUUUUGGUGGGAGUUUCUAUCAGGCUUUCUGGCACAUAGUAGGGCCUGAUGUGUGUAGAGCUACUACUCAAUUCUUCACUCAGGACUACAUUCUGCCUAACAUGAACUCUAAUAAUGUGGUGCUAAUCCCAAAACUCACAGGAGCAGAUAGAAUUGAAGAUUUCAGACCAAUUGCUAUGGCUAAUUUCCAAUUCAAUAUCAUUUCUAAAGUGCUUGCUGAUAGGUUGGCAACCAUUGCUCCUAGGAUUGUCUCAACUCAGCAAAGAGGCUUCAUCAAAGAUAGGCAAAUCAAUGAUUGUAUAUGUCUAGCAUCUGAGGCAAUAAACCUGCUGGAUCACAAAGUUUUUGGUGGAAACUUAGCUAUUAAAAUUGACAUCAAGAAAGCUUUUGAUACCAUUGAUUAGGAUUUCUUGCUGCUUACCCUUCAUAAGCUUGGUUUCAGCCACAAGUUCAGGAAUUGGAUUAGAAUCAUUUUACACUCUGCAAGGUUAUCCAUUAAUGUUAAUGGCAAAAUGGUUGGUUUUUUCAAGUGCACUAGAGGUGUGAGGCAAGGAGAUCCUCUUUCUCCUCUCCUUUUUUGCAUUGCUGAGGAUGUCCUUAGCAGAGGGCUAUCUAAGCUGAGGGUUGAGGGGCAAAUUAGCACUAUUGAGGGCCCUAAAGGAAUUAAAACUCCUUCUCAUGUGCUCUAUGCUGAUGACAUCUUUAUAUUCUGCAAAGGAAAGAAAACUGAGCUUCGCAAAAUCAACCAAUUGCUCAUCAAUUACUCAGAAAUAUCUGGUCAAUGUGUCAAUGCCUCUAAAAGUAAGUUCUAUUCAGCUUCUUCUUCUCACAUGAAAAUUGCUUCUAUAGCUCAGGUUCUUGGGUUUUCUGCUGGCAGUUUGCCCCUAACCUACCUUGGAGUUCCUAUUUUCUUGGGGAAACCAAGAAGGAUUCAUUUACAAAAAAUUGCUGAUAGGAUAAUUAGCAAGCUGGCUACUUGGAAAGGGGCUUUGCUAUCAAUCAUGGGCAGGGUUGAGCUAGUCAGAUCUGUAAUUCACAGCAUGCUGCUUUAUAGUUUCAAUAUUUAUGCUUGGCCUAACUCUCUUCUUAAGCACAUUGACAAGUGCAUAAGAAACUUUGUGUGGUCUGGUAACAUUGAGGUGAGGAAGCUAGUCACUGUGGCUUGGAAAAAUGUUUGCUUGCCCUUCAAGGAAGGAGGUUUGGGUAUCAGAUCUCUAAAGAAGAUAAAUCAUGCUGCUAUGCUCAAGCUUGCCUGGGAAAUGGCCAACUCCAAUCAUGAUUGGGCUUUUUUUUAGGAAUAGGUUUGGAUCUAAUCCUACUCCUUCAAGCAGAUACUUCAAAUCCUUAAUAUGGCCUGCUAUCAAAGCAAACUGGCACAACUUGCACAACAAUUCAAUCUGGAUAAUUGGUGAUGGGAAUAAAACAAACUUCUGGCUUGAUAACUGGUUAGGAGAACCAUUAGUGGAAACUCUAAGCAUUCCUACUCAGUUCCACUCUGAUUUGAGGGCCUCUGUUGCUGAUUUCAUCAGAAAUGAAGCCUGGAUCAUUCCUCAAACCCUGAUAAACAAUUACCCUCAAAUCACAUCAAAGUUUGGCAGCAUAAUUAUCCAUAGUGAUACAGACAAGCUAGUUUGGAAGAAUUCCCCUGAUGGGUUACUAUCUGCCAAGCUUGCCUAUCUGUACAUGAAUCCUGGUUCAGUCCAGAGCAAUUGGGGUAAAGUCAUCUGGUCUGAUGCCAUCCCUCCUUCUAAAUCCUUUAUAACUUGGAGAUUGAUCAAUAAUAAGAUGCCAACUGAUGACAAUCUUCAGAGACGUGGNNNNNNNNNNNNNNNNNNNNNNNNNNNNNNNNNNNNNNNNNNNNNNNNNNNNNNNNNNNNNNNNNNNNNNNNNNNNNNNNNNNNNNNNNNNNNNNNNNNNAAAGAUUAUGAGGAUGAAGUGAAAUCAUUUAUUAGGUUUGAAAUUGAGAAUGCUGAAAACCCUAAUAGAAUUGUAUGUCUUUCUUUAAAAUGUUGUUACUCCAAUCAAGUUACUCUAAUCGAGUUAAAUAUUAAUUUAGUUGCCAUGGUAUUGAUCAGAGUUGCACAUUUUGGACAAGGCAUGGAGAGAAAACAGAUAAUGAGACAAAAUGUGUUUAUACUAAUAAGAUCUUUACAAAAGAUAUCACCAUACAUGCAUGUGAAGGCAAUCGUUUCGAAGAUAUGGAAAAUCUUUUCGAAGAAGAUCUUCAAGAUUGUCUUGAGAUGUUUAAGCGGUUGAUAAGUGAUGCACAGAAACCAUUGUAUGAUGGUUGUAUUAAGUUCACAAGAUCAUAUAAGUUGAAAUCUGUUAAUGGAUGGAGUGAUAAGAGUUUCACUAACUUACUUGUACUUCUAAAGAAUAUGUUGUCUAAGGUUAUUGUGCUACCUUGAACGUGUGAUGCUAAAUAAAUGUCAUGCUCCAUUGGAAUGGACUACAAUAAAAUAAAUGCUUGUGAAAUUGAUUGCAUCUAAUUUUUUAAUGAUUAUGCUUUCUUAAAGUUCUAUCAUAAAUGUAAUGUCUAGCGAUAUAAGAAGGAGGACUCAACUCCUAGAAAGGUUGUAUGGUAUUUUCCCAUAAAAUCAAGAUUUAAGCACAUGUUCAGCAAUGCAAAAGAUGCAAAGCAUUCGACAUGACAUACAUAUGAAAGGAUUAAAGAUGGUAAGCUUCAACAUCCUGAAGAUUCACCUCAAUGGAGAAAAUUUGAUGAUGAUUGUACUAGUUUUAGUCAAUAAUCAAGAAAUCUACACCUUGUAUUUUCAAUUAAUGGAUUUAACCAACACAAUGAAUAAGAUAACUUGAAUUUCAUUAGAAAAAUAAUCCAUUGCUAGUUGAGUUUCUCCUAGUUUCUUGGUUAAACCAAGGUCAUUUCUUAUCAAGGUUCUCUUCCUUGUGGCGAAAUACAUUAGGCUUAUCAAGCAAUCAAGCUUUUGGCACCUUCAUCGUCCUAUCUAAUCCAUCUUCUUCUAUCAACUUCAACCAUCAACCACACACGCCCAAACAAUCCCCACACAUACAACCAUCACCAAAUAUCCAUACACAAUUUCCCUAAACAAUCCACAAACCCACUCAACCUUCACCCCAAAACCCACGGCCAAACACACUCCAUAAACAACCAAAAACCAAACCACAUAAUCAUACUCCACGGCCAAACAAAACCCAAAACAAAAAAACCAAUCAAAAAUGUAACAAGUUUCAAAGUGCAAAAAAAUUCCAUAUUUUUCUCAAAGACUUACAUUCAAGAACGACCAAAACAAAAUCUGAAUCUCCUCAAAAAGGAUUCACCCCAGCAUUGUUUUUAAAAGUACAGAGUAGACUAAAAUUGUAAGCAUAAUAACAAAACACAUAUACAAUCAAUUAUAUGAAUACAUUAUAAUGAAAUUCAUUAAUCUGUUAGAAUCAACAUUUCAUCAAGAAAUAUAGAUUAUUGGCUAUUAAAUUGUAGACCAUGUCACUAGCUAUAAUAUUGCGGUUGUAGUGACUACCACAGUCCCAUCAUACUACAAUUGCAGUUUGAUAUCGAACCAAGAUGACAAUGACAUAACCAUGUGAGGUUGCAAAACUACCACAUUGGACCACAUGAAAUUAAAAAAAAUAUUUUAAUCGCAAACAAGUUCACAUUACAAUGGCUUGCGUAAUGAUUUUAAUUGCAAUAAAACCAUGACCACAAUUACAAUACAAAUUUAAGAAAAAUGCUAGGAUUAAUUAAUGAAAAUAAUCACAUCACCUCAGUUGUAAAACAAGACAAGAACUUUCAGAAUAUGUGUUAUAUUGAGGUCUCUAAGAAACUUGAGUGUAAAAACAAUAUGGCCAUCUUCUUGUACAUUACUUCACCUAUGAUCAACAUGCGCUUCCUCUAGGGUUUCGAUAUUGAUAAUGGAAAAAUUAGUUUAGGUAGUUCCCAUUGAGAUACUAAGAUACUCUAGAUAAGGUGUGUCUAUUAUAGUAUCCUUAGAUUCAGAGUAAAUUCUAUCUGUUAAGGUUAAAUUCUUCAACAAAGAAGGCACGCAAAGUUUCGAUGUUUUUCAAUCCAUUGUAAUAAAUGUUAGAUACAAUGUUUUAAGAACUGGGCAGCUUGAGAAAAGCGUAUUAAUAGCCUGAUCCAUAUAAUCUAUUUCAAAAUAUAGGAUGUUGAGAGAAGGUAGAGAAACUAAUGAAAGUUGUUCCAAAAACAUGGAAUCGGUGAAUGUCAAUGAGACGAGUCCACUGCAAGUGAAAAUGCUACUAGGUACAGAGAAGAUUAUAAAAAGAUCUACACCAUAGGAAUAGUCAUAUUGGAGGUUAAGGUUGAAUAUCUCUAGGUAGGGUCCAGUGGUAGCUUUGAUGCACGUAAUCAUGGAACAAUCCAUAGUUUCUAAAAACAUUGUUGUGAGACAAAACCUUCAAAUGUCUCAUGUCAGCGCAUGAUGUUGAAAGGUUUUUCUGGGGGAAGUUUUCCCUUCUCAACAAAUCGUCUUGGCAGUAGUGCCAAUUUGUUGAAAGCGGAAGUUCCCUCAUUUUAGUGUGUUUCCUUUUUAUUUGAUUAAGUAAGUGAACACAGUUUUAUUCUUUGUUCACCAUCUCGGCUUUGUUGAAAUAAAUUCCAACACAGGUAUAAUGGUUUCAAGAAUAUUCCAGUUACAACUUACUUCAUUAAUAAUCAUGUGAAUAAGUUAUUCAUUCUUUCCCCUAUCUUGGCUUUGUUAGAAUAAAUUCCAAUGCCGGUAUAAUGGUAUCGAAGCAAUCCCCUAUUACAUAAUUCUUAAGUACCUUUGAAUACCAUCUUUGUUUUGUGGAAUAAGUUCCAACACCGGUUUAAUGGUAUUCUAAUGUACAAAACUGAUGAAUAGUUAGUUGUUAGAAACAAAUAAAUAAAUAAAGAACAAAAGAAUAAUAAAUUUAAGUGACAUUUAUUUACUUACUCCCUUUCAGGUUUAUUUUAUUAACAAACCAAACUUCUGCCUUAAGAAAGGUUGGUAUUAAAGAAUAAAUAAAUUGUGGAAAGUAAAUAACAAUAAAUAAAAGUUAGUGAGUUAGUUUCAUCACUUUUAUAUAUUAAAAGGUCUUUUUGUUGAAAGUGUUGUUCGGUGUUUAUUUUAGUUGGGAGUUUUCUCCUCUCAACAAAUCGUCCUGACAGCAGUGUCAAUUUGUUGAAAGAUUAAUACCCUCAAUUUUGUUAUGUUCCUUUUGCAAGUAAGAGAACUCGGUUUUAUUCUUUGUUCGUCAUCUCGGCUUUGUUGAAAUAAAUUCCAACGCCGGUAUAAUGGUUUCAAGAAUAUUCCAGUUACAACUUACUUUCUUAAUAAUCAUGUAAAUAAGUCAUUCAUUCUUUGCCCCAUCUCGGCUUUGUUAGAAUAAAUUCUAACGCCGAUAUAAUGGUAUUGAAGCAAUUACCUAUUACCUAUUACCUAUUACCUAUUACAUAAUUAUUAAGUACCUUUGAAUACCAUCUCGAUUUUGUGGAAUAAUUUCCAACAUCGGUUUAAUGGUAUUCUAAUAUAUAAAAGUGAUGAAUAGUUAGUUGUUAGAUACAAAUAAAUAAAUAAAGAACAAAAUAAUAAUAAAUUUANNNNNNNNNNNNNNNNNNNNNNNNNNNNNNNNNNNNNNNNNNNNNNNNNNNNNNNNNNNNNNNNNNNNNNNNNNNNNNNNNNNNNNNNNNNNNNNNNNNNUUUUUAGGUGAUCAAUCUAAAAAGAGCAUUAAGAAUUUCUCAAACAAGUAAAAUUAAUCAAAGCAUCAACUUGAAUGAUUAAAAUUCAAAUCUUUUAGAAUAUAAGAAGAAGUAGAAAUACAUAACCAUAUUCAAAAGAAAUUGUUAGGAGCAUGAGCCAUCCAUCCAAGGAUUGGAUGCUUUGAGUUCCAAAUGAGAUUACAAAAUUGAUUUAUGUAUCUCAUUUGCCUUCUCCUUUUCUUCUCUUGAAUUCUAAACUAAAAUUACAAACUUACUUGAAAUAAAGCUCCUAAGAACUAAGAACAAGAAGAUAGAACUUCAGAGAAUUUCUAGGCAGAAUGUGUAAGAUGUAUUUUGUGUUAUUGAUUCCUUCUUUUGCUCGAAUGGAAUGCCCUAUUUAUAGAAAUUCUUCUGAGUCGCUGAGCUGCUUGUCAGCCCCACUAAGGAGCUGACCAAACCCUUCAGCAUGGGUUUGGUUCCUUGAUCAAGAAGCUUUGUCACCUCCUUAUGCGUGACUCAUCGAAGCUAGUUGUGAGCUAUGAAACCAGCUAUUGUGAGCUACUCUGAAAAGCCUAUGGUCGGCUACUUGAGGUGAGGUCAUUGGUGACUUCAUGGUUUGCUUGAUGGAUAAGUCAAGUUUGGGUGCAUACCGCUUAGCACACUUGUUGCACUACUAAGCUGUUUGUUCAACAGCUUUGACCGUGAUAACUAGGACAUGACCUGGUACUUGCUGAUCUGGUCAAGAGUCUGAUUCUCCGCUAAGCUGCUUGGUUGGACUGCGAAGCUGCUUGUUCAGCAGCUUGGGCAUGNNNNNNNNNNNNNNNNNNNNNNNNNNNNNNNNNNNNNNNNNNNNNNNNNNNNNNNNNNNNNNNNNNNNNNNNNNNNNNNNNNNNNNNNNNNNNNNNNNNNUUUGGUAAAUUGUAUACUAUGUAUGCAUGUGAGUUGUGAAUAAUAGUCCCACAUAGGUUAGUUUUAAAAAAACAAUCUCAUUUUAUUGGUAUAAAAGGAAAGGACUUCUAAGGGAUUGAAUCAUUAAACUAUCUUCCCAUAAAAUUUGUUAUUUAGUCACACACUUUGAAACAUUAUAUGUAAUGAUAAUUAGGACUCAUGUUAGUUUUGUGGCCUAUUGUUAUUUCCUAACGUGUUGCAAACAUAAAUAAAUAAAUUAAUAUAAAGUUGAGAAAAUAACAAACUUGAUGAUGUAGGUAGUGAGGAAGCUAAAAAAACAUGGCUUUUAUGAGGUGCAAAGAUUUGGACAAAGAGGUAUGUGGGGCCUUCUAGGUGACUUGCUAAAAAACUUGUGUGUUGUUGUUGGACUUUUUAGCAACAUGUGAAUGAGUUCUUUAAUUGUAUAAGCCAGCAAAACACACAACUCCUUUAGUAAUGGGUAACAUCUUAGUCGUAAACAUCUUCCAUAUCUUUCACUGAGGGAGAUAGUGACAUUGCUUUGCUCCAGUGGAACGAAACACAUGGGAUAUCCACCAUAAGGCUGGUUCAUAUGCAUAAAUUGUGGCCCCAAGUUCGGAAAAGAGAAUAUUUUGGGGAUGACCCAUGUUUUGUUGUGAAUGGCUUACCCGUGAAGCAGUGGUGGCUAUAGUGGUUGUUGGCUUUGUUAAUAGUAUGGAAAUUGGUGUCCGAAACUCGUCCAUUGUAGGAAUGAAUGAAGUCAGGUUUGAAGGUUUUUUUGUUUAGUAAAGUGAGAGUGAAAGUUUAUGAAGUUAGUAUAAAAAGGGGUUGAGGCAAUGGAACAAACACAAGAUUUAAGGUGAGCAAGACAGAUACUUCAAAAGAAAUUGGUAAGAAGGAAAAUUAAGAUGAGAAUUGAGAAUAGGAAAGAGACUCCAUUCUAUGAUACCAUGGGAUGUAACAAUAUCAAGAGGAAUAUUUCAUUUGAUCCAUUUGAGGUAGAGAUGUUGAUGUGGGUGACAUGGAUUAAAGUGGAAGCCAAGUAAGAACCCUAUAAAAUCAAAGGUGGUGGCACCAUAUGAGGACUGCCAAAAAGAAGAGAAUCCCCCAUUUCAUUAUGCCUUAGACUUUUUUAAUAGAAGAUACGCAAUACUUCUACCUGAAGAUGGGAUAUGCCACAAACUCAUAGCAACCAAAUAUAUUUAUAAAGUUUACUCUUUUUCUUUUUUGUAAUAGUGUGACAUUAAGAAGAUGAAGUAGAUAACAUCUUCUACAUCUUCCCCUUCUCUUUUUGUAACAGAUUAAGAUUAAAUGAGACUCUUCUCUUUCCUAUAGAAACUGUCCCCUCAAGAUUAAUAUAGGCGUGUGUGAACACCCAAUUUUGUCCUACCUUUACUUUUUAUCUUUGAUGCAAAACUCAAAAAUUAUAUAAAUCGUUUCAUGAUUCGCAAGAGCAUUUGGGUAAUUAUGCAAGAACAUUUGGGUAAUUAAGUUGCAGAUUAGUAUUGUUGAAUAUGAUUCAUAUGUGGUAAUGCCCAAAAAUCAACUAUGUCUUCUAAAUUAAUUUACAUGCAACACCCAACUUUCCUCUCAUUUAGAAUAGGAUUUUAACAUCUUUCAGCAAUAAUCAAAGUUGGGAAGCCGAUAGAAAAUAAGUUCAUAUCACUAUGAACACUCGGAUUAAGAAUUAAGGUAUAGUUUGAUUAAUGCUAUCAAAGACCAUAACCUGGACAUAAAGUUACUCAGGAGCCUACACUAUCUAUCAUACAAACAGUGGCCCGAAUUUGGAAUAAAAGGGUGCAUAGUAUAAAAUAUACGUGCAUUAAAUCAGGAGAUUUCCUAAUGAGUUCACCAUAGUGUAAUUGAUAUACAAAAAGCUACUGUUAGAAUCAUGAAUUCAAUAAAUGAGCAUGCCAAAGACUGAAGAAAAAGUUGGAGAGCUUGUUAAGCAGUUCUCUGAUCAAGGGAAGAUAAUGUUGCUUGGUGCGGAUGACAUGGAUAUUUUCAAGGGAAUAAGUUUAAAGCUUUUGGCCAUGGAGCAGCUUCUCAUUCGGCACCCUGUGUGUCAAGAAAGAGUUGUGUUGGUGCAGAUAGCUAAUCCUGCAAAAGGAAAAGAAAGUUGUGAAAAAGUUACUCUUGACUAAAUUGAUGAACAACCGUGACAAAAGGCUAAGUGAGAAAGGAAUCUCACUGCUCUUGCAUAUGUGCAGAAAACUAGACUACAAUUGGAACCUUAUUAUAGCAUCUCACCUGGACACUGAGAUUUCGCAUCUGAAGCUUGUGUUGCUCUUUGGUACCAACAAUUAAUGAUGAUGUAAAAUAAUGAAAGAGGCGAAGAGAUAUGGUGAACCAAAUGGAGCAGUCAAUGAGUCUAACACCAAAUAGAAUCAUCCACUACAAAAACAAACAGAAUAUAUUAGUACAAGAAAUAUAGCAAUAACAACAUCCUUAUUAAUAGAAGGGGCAGGGGAUCAAUAACCAAAACCCUUUAUUGUUGAUUUUGGCUUUGGCCAACGCCCACAAGCCAUUACCAGGUCUGCACUUGAACCUAAAAAUCCAGCAUUAACCCAAAUGAGAAAACAGCCAAGAUAACAACAGCUAGAGAGAGAGGAUUGGCAGCAAAUGAAGACAAUGACAAUAACGUGAUUUGUAGAAUCCUCAUCAGGAAGAUAUGCAUAGAAUUGUUCUUGAAUGGACACAUUAAACUAGGGGAAUCAGUCACAAAAGUUCUUACUAAUGUACAUACAAUGGAUACAAUUGAUACUUCUAGCAUACAAAUACCUCUUGGAAGAUAGUUAUAACCAUGAUUCCCUGAAUAAGGCAGAUGGUAGUUCAAAAGCAGCAAACCAGAAUACAUAUUCUCUUCUGGUUACACAUACACUUAAGUAAAUAAUAAUUAUUCCAAAGCAAUCACACCAAUCAGCCAUGAGUUACAUGAUAAAGGCCAGUUACCAUUCUACUCCAAUUAUGGUCAUCAUUGGCAAAUAAGAAUCUUCUCAAACAGUUACGUAUGCACAUAAAUCAGCAAUAACUGGGACAAUACAAGAGUUUCAAAAAAUGCAAACCAGAAGUCAUCACCAGUUGGCAUAUUCCUUUUACAGUUAUGUAUUCCAGUAAGCAUAAAAGGCAAAUCAGUAGGUGAGAAUUCAGAAAUAUCUCAGCAGUUACAUAAAAAUCAUAAUCAGCAUGAAUGGGAAUAGUUAUUGGGCAGUUUCAGAAUGGGUAUCCAGAAAGCAAAAGGCCAAUGCAACAUAAACAUACAGCUAUAAAAGGCAUACAACACACGCAAGUCAGGGGGAGAAACAUACACAAUACACACAACUAGUGAAAAAUCCAGACACACAUACACUUACAUAGCCCCAAACAGAGAUCACAUACAUAACCUAUAACCAUACAAAAGAACCAGAGAACAGUCAAUACACAGUUGUUAAAGAGACAUAUCAUAUGAGUCUAAGAAUAACUACAUUUGCAACGCAUAUAUCAAAGAGUGAUAUACCACACCCAUAAGUCAACAAUCAGACCACAGAUAGCACAAUUAUCAAGAAGAGGAUAGCACAUUCAGAACACACAUCACAGCACUGAGCAUACACUCAGAAUACCAGGAUAAUCGUACAAUCAGGUAAGCAUUCCGAUCAUAAAAGAUGUAUUCAUUAGACAUAUCAUUUAUCUCUUAGUUUGCAUUCUAAAUAUAUAUGCUUACAUUAACUGCCUGUUGUUUACUCGGUUGUCCAGAAACGUAUAUAUUUGUGCUAAGUUGAAACGCAAGUUAAUCUCAAAAAAGAUUUUUUUCAUGAAAUACAAGCAGAAGGACGUUUUACUUAUUAUACAUCUGUAAUAGCUAAAUAGACAUAUACUUUCAGUAAGAGCCUUAUAUGUAAGUUGUUAAAAUGAAAAGCAAUAACUGAGGAUGCUCAUCUUUAUCAUCAUGAUGUGUCGGUAACACGAAUCUGAGGCUUAAUUAAAGAAUUAUCUAACAAACGGAAUCAAGCUUACGGGAGAGCAUACCCCUAAUUUCCUAGUAACUCCAAUAAAGGAAUCAUUUUCCAGUUGUUAAGAAUUUGGUAAUCCCAACCCUUUCGGAAAUAAUUAAUUGAAGACGGUAACUAAAUCCAUACCUCAUUUUGGUGAGUUUCCUCUCAUUUAGAAUAGGAUUUUGACAUCUUUAAGCAAUAAUCAAAGUUGGCAAACACACCAAAAAAAGUUGAGACAACCAAAGAUAAAAAAAAGAUGGCAUUUUUUUAGGCGUUCUAGAAUCAAUUUUAUCUUCAAAAUCUAAUUAACGGUUUAUUAAUUUCUGGCGGUUUGUUUGAAUUUUUUAAUUGUCAGUUUUAUUUUUUAUAUUCUAAAAUCAAGUCAACGGUUCCAUUUUUCAUACAUAAAAAUAACCAUUGUCGUUUAUCUUUGAUAUUGAAAAGGAAAAUAAAUAAACGUUACAACAGUAAUGCAUACUCCUACCCUUUCCGUAUGAUUGGUGUUUCUCAUAAAUAAUUAGACUAUAGCAAUGUUACAAAACAAUUUAAUUGCUGAAUAAUAUUAUUUACGUUUCACUUUGCCAAUUUAUCAACUCAUAAUACUCACACUAAAACCUACAAAGAAAAAACAGAGAGUCACCUAUUCAUAUUCAACAGGUUACUCAGUGCUCAUGGGGGUUUCACUCCUGCACUUCAAUUUUUGAAGCUAUUCAAAUCCCAAUUUCAGUUUCAAUGAAUAAGGAAAUGGAGUAACAAAAUGAGAAAUAGAGAGAGAGAGAGAGUAACAUCAUAAGGAGCUAUAAAAGUGGGAAGAUUAUUCCAUGAAAGGGGGAGGCAACCAACAGAGAGAUAUAGAUAUCAUCACUCUAACAAUUGAAAAGAGAGAAUAAUUUUUUAUCCAUCUCUAUAAGUCCUAGAUGGAGAUAUUUUCUUCAUAAGUAUAUACUACAUAUCUUAUUUUGGCAUUGCACACGUCUUAUCCUCUUUUCCAAUACCCUGUAUAUAGCAUAUAUCUUUUACUUUGCUUAUGCAUUUUUGGUAUGAUGAUUUUUAUUGCAACAAAUUCAGUGUUCAUUUCAUGAAGUUAACUCCCAUACUUAAGGACACUGUCUAAAGCAUUGAACACUUUCCUAACACCUACAACAUCAAUUCCUACAGCCCCAACAACAGCUACAACAUCAAUUCCUACAAGCUCCAACAACACCUUCACUCUCAUAGACCAGUUCUCGAAGACCCUCUGAAUGUAGCAACUUCUUCCUUGGCUCGUUAGUCCAGAGUUCAGGCUGGAUGAAAAGCUACAAGGGUAUGUUGUUAAUGAAAGAAAAGCAAUGUGAAAAAAUAUAUAUUGAAAAACCUAUGCAGCAAACCCCUUUAUCUUUUUGUUAAACCUACUAUCAAUCUAUCUCUGUCUUAUGGUGUGGACAUUUCAUUUUUCUCCAUCCCAUAACAUACCCAUGCCUAUAGCCACCAUUUUUUUUAUAUCUCCAACAUGAUUAUGAUACCCUUAAAGCCCCCUUUCUACCACUUCAUCAACCUAUACAAACAACACAUACAACCCACUUAAAUAUCAAAUCUAUUCUAACAAUUAAACACUUCUAUAUCACUCUAGGAUCAUUAUUAUCCCUUACUAUAUGUCUCUUUGUGAACCUUGAUGCCCCUGUAACAAGUAAGAAAAUGCGUGUUGUGAUUGCUUGGGUGUUUGCUUGGUGGGUCACCAUGGCAGUGCCACUUCAUGCGACAUCUAUGUGCCCCCUUUUUCUGUUCCCUCUCUUUGGUAUAGCUACCUAAAGAAUGAAUAAGAGUCAAAUUUGAAUCUUUGAGUUUUAAUUCUAUAUUUGUAUUUAUUAAAAACAAUUAGUGGAUGAUUUUUUAAGCAUUUGUUGAUACCAAUUAUGAACCUUUAGUUGUUUUUGAUGUACAUUGGUGGGGCUGCACUUUUAAUUUUACUAUUUGAGUUUCCUUCAACACUAAUUUCAGCUACAUGUUAAGUAACCAGAGAGCAUACACACAUAUAUCAUACAAACAUAUAUACAUGCGUAUCGCGCAUAUAUCUACGAUAACAAGCCAUCUAUCUAUACAUACAACGUACUUUUUUAUCAGUCACUAAUAAUAUUCAAUAGCAUUUAAUGCCAUUGAUAGUUUUUAUAACAUAAUCAUUUAACCAUUACAAGUUAUAUGUUGCAAGUAAAAUAUUUAUAUUAAUAAAUAUAUUAUGUUUACUAUAAUAUAUAUAAUAAUUAAUAUAUACUUUAAUUAGUAAACCAUUGGUUGAGUUCUAUGUUGGUUAAGGGUCCAAACAUAGAACUUGAUAAUUGUUUGUAACAUAGUUAGUCAUUUAACCAUUAUAGCAUUAAUUUAUAUGUUGUAAAUGUUGUUUAUAACAUAGUUAGUCAUUUAACCAUUGAACCAUUACAAGUUAUAUGUAGUAAACAAUAAUAUUUAUAUUAAUAAAUAUAUUAUGUUUACUAUAAUAUAUACAGUGAUGGAUCUUGAUGCAAUGUUUAGGGGACAACAAUAUGUAAAUAUAAGUGAUAAUUAAUAUUAACUGAGUAACAAAAAAACAUGAUAAAAUAUACAUAUUAAUUCUAAAUAACAAUAAUAAAAAAUUAAAGACGUUUAAAAUAUUUACAUUCAUUUGAAAUGUCUUAAACUCAGCUGCAAUUUUAUAAUUUUGUUUAGUUGUCUUUGUUGCUGAAAAUUUUGUAGUACCUUAACCAUAAUAGUUAAGAUUAGACGAACAACUCAAUCAAGUAAAUAAUAGGCAUUUAUUUUUCCCAUAUCGUCAAAGUUGCACUUAAUUUAGAGAUGCUUGUAAGUUUUUCAAACAUAGAUGCCUAACGACAUCAAUAAUAAAAUAUUGAAAUUGACGUCUCAAGCUAAUCUUAUCUUGCUCAUUGAAAUUCAUAAGAUAAGGUUUUUGCAUAAAAAUCACGUUAUCUAUUUUAAAUGAUUUAUACAAAUUAUUAUGAUCUUAAAAUUUUUGCGGCAAAGUUUGACAAAGAUAAGCUUUUAUCCUCGUAAUUUAGUUUACACAUAUAAAAUCCUUAUAAACAAUAUCAACAUCUACAUAUAUAUGAGAAGUUGAUUCAUUAUCUACAACUUUUAGAACGACCAUAUUGUAUAUGUAUCAAACUACAAAUUGAAAACAAAGUGAGGUAGAUGAGUAUUUUCUUGAAGAAAACAUUUGGGUGUAGCUAAAAGUAAAACAAUUAUAGUUUAAUUAAUAUAUUUGGGAAAAAUAUUUAGGGGUAGUUUCCCCUACAUGUUUCAACAAAUAUCCGUCUCUAUGUGUAUAUAUAGUAUAGUUUAAUUAGUAAAGUAUUAGCUAAUCGUUGUUAUAAUAAAUAAUAUGAUAUUUAUAAUACUGGUAGAAGAUAUUUGAGGGUAUUAAAAAAAACUGGGUCAUUUGUUUGCAAUGAAAAAAAUAAUUUGGUCAUUUUUUCAAUAACCCCCUAACUCAGAUAUACGCAACACAUCACGUUCCACUAUAAUUCAUUGGUCUCCACAAAACCAAACCCUCAUCUUCUUCAUCUCUCUACAAUCUUCACAAAAAGUUGUCGUUUAAACCACUACUCAACAUCCCUAUUCUUCUGUCAGACAUCGAUUCUUCACUUAUCAUCUCAGAGGCACGUUUUUUUAAUGUUGUUAUCAUUUGGUUUUUUUAAGUAUUACUGGAAUUAAUUCAUGUUUUUUUCAUUUCAUCAAUGAAAUGAAUUUGAUAGAAAUAGUUAGUUGUCUAUAAUGUAUUUAGUGAACUUGUUUGAAUGUGUACUUUGAGUUUUGAAUUUAUUUGUUCACUAUUGAAUGGAUUUAAUUAGGAUUUUUGUAUGUUUUCAUCUAUUGUAGUCAUUUGUGAACUCCUCCAUAAAACAAGCUACUAGUCUUUCGUUUUUUUAAUUAUUUAUAUUCAUGAUGUUAGAAAUGGGUUGAUCAUAUUUGUAUUGAUAAAUUUAGAAAUGUGAUGGCUAUAGAUGUUGUUGAUAUAUGGAGGUUUUGGGGGUCAUCAAAACCAUAUCAUGACCACUACUGCAUCAGCCGCAUUUUUUCAUAAUUGUCUGAACCGUCAAUGUUUUGGACAGUUCUAAAACCACAACUGCAACCAUGGUUUAAAACCUUGUUUCCCACUAUCUUAAUGUGAAAAUAUUAAUGUUAUAUUAUUAGUGUGAGGCAGAAAGAGAGUCAGCCUCUCUACCACAAUAUUGUUGCUUCAUAAUGAUCAAGAGGUCAUUGGUUCAAAAAUCAUGGGCAUAGUCUUUCAUCACUUCUAAGAUAAGGCUGCAUAAAUGGCAAACACUAAAAUUUGAACUGGAUGUUAGUUUGCUUCAAUGUGAAGUAUGACUUAGUCAUAAGAUUAAAAAAUGUCGUAUUCAGUUACCGUUUCGGCAUUUUCAGAAGUCGUGAAUCUAACGUACAACUUCUGUAUAGAAAUCAUGACACCCUUUAACGAAUUUUGGGUAUGUUAUUUAUAUUGUUUAGAAGUCGGAUAUUUCAUGUAGAAGUCAUGAUUUGCUUUAACGUCUUCUACAAGUAGUUUAAAAUCUUUCACUAGAUGUUGGAUUUUUGCAUACCAACUUGUAAACUUGCAAAAUGUUCCUCAUAGAAGUCGUAGUUUCGAAUCACGAUUUCUAAAAAACUUGAUAGUCGACCACAAAUUAAACAGAUGAGAUUAACCACUACUCAAUCGAAUGGCUAAUAAUGCAUUUCACAUGGAUGCGAACUAAACCUACAGUUCGCAAGUUAGUCUAUGCAUGCAUAAUAAAUAUAUCAUCUUCAGACUCCACUAUGUGAGAUCUCAUGUACUAGAUCAUCCUAUUAUUAUUAUUAGUGGAAUGUGCACUCUGAUUAACUUGCUACAACUCGAAAUGGUAAUUUAAAAUUAUUAGGGGACUAAGUUGGUAGGGUCAAAAUAAAACUUAAGAGGCUGAAAUGAGUAAUUACUCUCAUUUAUAUACAUAAUUAAAUGUAAAUUUUUUAGGUAAUUAAACUUACAAGCAUAUUGGUUCCACAUUUGCCUUAUUGUUUCUGAGUUGAAAAUGAACGGUUGAAACACCACUACAUAGUUUAGCAAAUGCAUGAAAGAUAGAAUUCAUAGUUGAUGAUAAAUCUAGUACAAGAAAUAUAUUCCAUGAUUUCCACUUUCUUGAAUAAUGUAGAUAAAAUGAAGUAUAUAUAAACCAAUAAUCUAAAUGGAUCUAUAUAUCUUUCUUUUGUACAAAGUAUUACUCCUCUGAACUAUAAAAAUGAACUUAUAAACUACUAUCAAUCUUUAUUAUUUUGAAUUUUAUUAUAAUUUUAAUAAUGUUAAAAGAUGUUAAUUUAUAAAAUAUUGACAGAUUUUUAAUUAAGAUUUUAAAAUAAUUAAGUUUUUACUUUCUUUUAACAAAAAGGACACAUUUUUUAUUUCCACAAAAUAGAAAAUAAGCAACAAUAUAUAUAUAUUAUUAUAAUUAUAUAUAUUUUUAAUUAUAUAUUUUUAUUUUAUAAUUAGAAACUACCAUAUUUUUAUUUAAUGUAAUUGAAUAUUCAAUUUUCAUAUAUCUCCUUUGUACAAUUAUAGUACUUUUCUUUUUGUAUUCGAUGUAUUUUAUAUUAAAUUUUGUUUAUUGGAUAUAAUUUAAAUUAUAUAUUUUUAUUAUAAUGUUCAAUUUAAGGUGAGAGAGAUAAUUUCAACAUGCAAUUAAUGUUUUUGUUGGUGAUUAGUUUUUUUCCGAAUAUAGUAUAGAUAUAUUCAAUAUUACGUCACAUACUUUUUAUUGUGAUUACUUACUUAAUGAAUAUUUGAAGAAUAAUAAUUUUUGAAAACAUGAAUGGUGUUACUAUGGGAUUUUGCUCUUCCUUUUCUACAGGCAUGACUUUAUUUUAGUUGUUAUAAAAAUGGCUAACAAUAUCUUUAUCAUGUUGCGAAAUUGAUUAUUAUGUACAAAAAUAAAAAACAAAUAUAAACUUAGUAAAAAAAAUGUAAAUUAUGAAAUAAACAAAUUCAGAUGAAAUUUAAAUUAACAAAUAAAAUGGAGUAAUACAGUAAAUGUAUCACAAUAUAAUAAAUCAUAUAAAUAAAUAAAUGCUAGAAAUAAAAAUAAGUGAUGGAAAUUAGUUACUCACUUAUUAUUGUACUUGAAUGUUUUUCAAUACAAAAUAAACCACGAGGAGCAGCCUUGAAAGAGGAACCAAAUAAAAAAGUUAAACUACAAAAACUUUAGCCCAAAACAAGUGAUUGGCUGAAGUAUAGAAUGAUUUGAUAUCCCUUAGAAGUCACUUCUUUUUGUACCCAUAAAAUGAGACUACCUUUUAAAAUUAACCUAUGUAGGACUAUUAUUUGCAAAAAUAUACAUACAUAGUAUACAAGAAAACUGAGCAAAUUAGACUUAACAAGUUCAAAGUUUCAAUGCGGAUAGUAUGAGGUUAUUAAUAUGUUCACUAUUGAGAAUGACAAUCCAAAGUUUAAUGUAUUCUGUUUUAUUCUAUGAGGAAUAAGCCUAAAAUAUUAAUCCAUAAUAGCUUGAUUGAAUGUUGUAUGUAUAAAAUGAAAAGUGCCACAUUAGUCGAAAACAAGUGAUGGAUGCAUGUAUUUUUAAUUUUAUCUUACUGUACUUUUUGGCAAAACAUAAUUGUCAUGAUAUUGUUUGAUUAUAAUGUGUUGCGUUGAUAUUAAUACAAUCUUUCGGAUAUCUGAUAUUAAAAUUAUAUCUAACUAAAUAUAUUUGCGUGUGUUGUUGAUGAAUGUAUAUAUGAAUAUAUUAAUGUGUACAACAAUCAAUAGUGUGUGCUAGGGGAGCUUGCAAGCGCUAUUGUAUAUGAGCAUUGUUGUCUGUGUCACAUACAACAUCACUCCUUAUAGCGAGCGAUAUUAUAUGUGAUACGUACAAAAAUGCUUCCUAGAAGGAGCGUUAUUGUAGGUAUCACAUAUAACAUCGCUCACUAGAUGGAGCACUGUUAUAAAUAUAACAUAUAACAACACUCACGUAUGCACUAUUGAAUCAUAGCUAACAUUAUACCGUGUUCACAUAGAUAGUACCCAAAAUUGCUUUUGAUUCCAAAUAUUGAGUGCAUUGAAAAGUAACUCUAGCUUACUAAUCACACUGUGUUACAAGUAACCACAUUCAUGACCUCAAUUUCAAUCAAUGGCAAGUACUUUACAAUUACAUCUAUGAAGAUUGUCUCAUGUAGUGGGUAAUAUGUUCUGCUUAACAUAUAAAGGUAGAGAAGUGGAAAGUAUGUUCUUGGUAUCAGUAUGCUUGACCAAAGAAAUUGCUAGAAAAGAUAAUGAACAUUCUAUUUUUAUACUAAGAAAAUCGGUAACCAAAAAUAUAAAAGACUAUCAGAAUAUAAUUUCAUAAUUGAAUGCAAAUGCCAUAAUGCCACACACAUCAAUCAUUUUCUUUUCCAUAAACUCCAGAAAAAUAUUUCGAAAUUGAGAUUGUAUCCUCUAUGAAUUUUUUAUUUCCUAGAACAUCAUAUUAACUUAUAUAAACUGACAAUUUUAUACCACCAAAAAACAAUGUUGACUCAUCAAAGAAAAUACCAAUUCUCUUAAUUCUCAAAUAUAUAUAUUUGAUACUGAUUUUAAAAUUACAAUAGCAACAAAGAAAGCUCUCCCCUACUAUUUCAAAUUGUCGACCACAUAAUGUAAUGCGGCCGCUAUACUGUACUUGCAAUGACUUUCAUGACUGCAUGACACUGCAUAGAGCUCUGAUAACACCAUAGAUUUUGUUAAAGUUAACACCUUAAGGAAAUACAAAUAGGUCAGUCAAAAUUAAGCACACACCUAUUGGAGUCCCUUGGUAUACUCGACAAGUGUUUUAGUAUAAGAUGUUUUUUUUCUAAACUUAAUGAAGCAUCUGUAUGAAUUUUCAUUGUUUUCAAAACUAGUCCUUCUUGUAUUGUAAAUGCAAUAAAUAUCUGCUCAUUUAAUUUGUAAAGUCAUGAUAUCCUCGAAACGCAAUACUUAUCAGGUGUGAUCUAAGAUACUGGCAAACAUUUUGGAAGUCUCUUACUUUCUACAUAUAGUUACUUUUUUGAAAUAAAGGAUAAUAUUACUCAAAAAAAUGGCAGCAAAAACAUAGAUUUAAAGUUAAAAUUUAGGACCCAACAAAACUGCAAACUAUGAACUAUAAAAACCUGAAGCAUGCCACAUUUAUCAAUCAAGUUUACUACAAAUUUGGACUUCACAUCCGGAUCACUCAGCUUUAGACGGUGGACCAUAUAACAUUCAAAAAAUUCUAAAGUGGAGCCCAUUUUAUACAUUGUUUUUAAGAGUAAAGAGUAGACUGUAAGCAUAAUAACAAAACACGUAUACAAUUAAUUAUAUGAAUACAUUAUAAUGAAAUGCAUUAAUCUGUUAGGAUCAACAUUUCAUGCAGAAAUAUAGAUUAUUGGCUUUUAAAUUGUAGACCAUGUGACUAGCUAUAAUAUUGUGGUUGCAGUGACUACCACAGUCCCAUCAUACUGCAAUUGCAGUUUGAUAUCAAACCAAGAUGACAAUGACAUGACAAUGUAAGGGUGCAAAACUACCACAUUGGACCACAUGAAAUUAAAAAAUAUAUUUUAAUCGUAAACAAGUUCACAUUACAAUGGCUUGCAUAAUGACUGCAAUUGCUAUAAAACCGUGACCACAAUUACAAUACAAAUUUAAGAAAAACACUAGGAUUAAUUAAUGAAAAUAGUCACAUCACUUCAGUUGUAAAACAAGACAAGAACUUCCAGAACUGGUGUUCUAUUGAGGUCUCUAAGAAACUUUAGUGCAAAAACAAUAUGGCCAUAUUCUUGUACAUUAGUUCACCUAUGAUCAACAUGCGCUUCCUCCAGGUUUUCCAUAUUGAUAAUGGAAAUAUUAGUCCAGGUAGUUCCCAUUGAGAUACUCUAGAGAAGUUUUGUCUAUUAUAGUCUCCUUAGAUUCAAAGUAAAUUCUAUUCGUAGAGGUUAAAUUCUUCAACAAAGAAGGCACACAAAGUUUCGAUGUUUUUCAAUCCAUAGUAAUAAAUGUUAAAUACAAUGUUUUAAGAACUUGACAGCUUGAGAAAAGCGUGUUAAUAGCCUGAUCCAUAUAAUCGAUUUCAAAAUACAGGAUAUUAAGAUAAGGUAGAGAAACUAAUGAAAGUUGUUCCAAAAACAUGGAAUCAGUGAAUGUCAAUGAGACGAGUCCACUACAAGUGAAAAUGCUACUAGGUACAGAGAAGAUUAUAAAAAGAUCUACAUCAGAGGAAUAGUCAUAUUGGAGGUUAAGUUUGAAUAUGUCUAGGUAGGGUCCAGUGGUAGCUUUGAUGCACGUAAUCAUGGAAUAAUCCAUAGUUUCUGAAAACAUUGAUGUGAGAUAGAACCUUCAAAUGUCUCAUGUCAUGCACAUGAUCACAACAAAAGAGACGAAAAUGGAAAAAUGUUUUAAUGUAUUGUUGUUGUAGUUAUAGAAGAAAUUGAAGACAUGAUGAUACUACUAGAGGUGCUCCCAACGAGGAGACAAAAUGCAAGUAGUGACGCAAAUUUCAGUUUCGAGGAAUCGGAGGAUGUGACAUAGAAUGGAGUCUGAUAGAGUAUUGAUCGGGUUUUUUGUGGUUGUCGGGCCUUGGAGUUAAUUGCAUUUCAAGUUGGUCAUCAUAUUAACUAAGUUUAGUUCAAUCUUAUACUAGAGGGGAGAUUAUCUGAAGGUAUUUUCAAAUAUCCUAGAAGAUAUUUGGAUAUCAUGAUAUCAUUACUAUAUCUUUGAUUUAACAUAGAGUAUCUAAGAAUAUCUGUUAGGAUUGACAUAAUUUUAUCUUAUUGUUUAUGAUUUGAGUCUUUCUUAUCAUAAUAUAAUCAUUCACAAUACUAUCAAUGCAAUUUACCAUAUUAAGGGAAACAUAUAAUUAUGAUCAUUUUGUCAGUUGGUUUUCGAGGUGUUAGAAGUCAUGAAAGAAAUAGGUUUUUAUGUUUCAAAACUUCUCAACUAAGAUGAAUAUCUUUACAUUUUUUUGGACAAUAGAGAGUGCGACUUUACAUUAUUUCUAGUGUGAAGGACGAUACUGGUUGGCUCCACAUACCAUAUAAAGAGAUCAACAAAAUGGCAUGACAAUGGCUUGAUGAAUUUCAAAGAGCAAAUGAUGAUAAAAUGAUCAACAAAAUAGCAUAGUUGUCUUUAUCUUCUUCAAUUUCUUUUGCCGAGAUCAUGCAAAGCUCAUCAAAGCUCAUCAAGCUGAUCAACAAAAUAGGUUUCAUGAACAUUGACAACCACUUUAUGCUAUGUUUGUAAGAGUCCAUUAUGAAAGUAAGGUUCAGACAUUAAUAAAUAAAGGAUACAUCCAAACAAGAAAAAUGGAAGUUAAAUUUAGAGAAAUAGAUAUAAUAAUUAAUAUUCAGUUGUCUAAUAUUAAAGUUUCAUCUUCAAGGAUGGCUACUAAUGAAAUUUAUGCCAUGGGAUCAAGACUCAUUUAUACAAUAAUUAUACUAUUACAUCGAGCUAUUCCUUUGUCCGAAAUAAAGUAUAACCAUUACAAUAUUUGGAUCUAUGAAUCGAACACAUAUUUGGAUAAAAUUAUUAUAGGCCUCCGUCUUAAAUCGACAAGUAUUUUCAAAGCCUUUCCUAAAACUUGGUGCAUGUAAGUCUUAGCAAACUAUAUAUUUUGCACUAUCCAACCAAUCUCCGCCCCUUAUAUUUCUCACUCAUCUGUUUCAUUAAGACACGUGUUUCCCAUAACAUGGAAUUAUAUAACAUAAAAAACCUCAUCCACUGGUAUUGAUCACGCGAGGUUGUUCCACUCAGUGGCCCCUAAUUUAUUUUUUCUUCUAGCCUAAUUAAAUAUCUCAGAACUAUUAGGUCGUGCAUUAAUGUGUGCAUCAAAUUCAUGUAUUUCCCUCCACGUCUCAUAUAAACAAGUAGUGCAUCUUAAUUAGAUUCAUCAUGAAACAUUAUGAAGUUACAAUCAAAUGAUGGACUCCUAUAUUCACAUGUGAUAAAAUGUAUAAUAUCAUCCGCCUAAAGAAGAUAUCACCCACGUGAAGAAUUUUUCCAUAUUCUUGAUGAGCUUCUAAUUUUUUAUCAAAUCGGGACUAAGAUUUUAAUUAUUCUUUCCCAUGAUUAACAAAUCGCAUUUUUUUAUUUUAAACAAUAUUUAGUCUAGAAACUUGGGACCAAUAUUCUAGAACUAUCCUUCCUUUAAUAAAAUAGAAUCACAUGAAACUUUGUAUUCUCAUUCUUAAGAGUCAACGUAUUGAUAACCUUCCACUCUCAAUGAUGAAACUUUAAACUUGUUAAGUUUAAUUUGUGAAGUUUUCUUGUAUAUUAUGUGUGCAUAUGUGUUGACAAUAAUAGUCCCACAUAUGUUAACAUUAAAAGGUAAUCACAGUUUUUUUGUAUAAAAAGAAAUGACUUCUAAGUGACUGAAUCAUCAAACUAUCCUAUAUUUUAGCCAAUCACUUGUUUUGGGCCAUAUUUUUCGUAGUUUAACUUUUUUAUUUUCUUCCUCUUUGUGGGUUACUCCUCCUGGUUUAUUUUGUAUAGACAAAUAUUCAAGUACAAUAGUAAUUGAGGUAACUAUAUUCCAUUACUUCUUAUUAUUUCUAGUAUUUAUUUAAUUAAAUCAUUUAUUAUAUUGUGAUGUAUUUACUUAAUUACUCUAUUUUAUUUGCUAAUUUAAGUAUUUCAUAAGUAUCAUUUUUUUAUUAAGUUUCUAGUUGUCUCAAUUUUGGUACAUAGGAAUUUAUAUUGCAAUAUGAUAAAAUUAUUUUAAAUAAAUUUUUAUAACAACUAAAACGAAAUCAUCCCUAUUGAAUUGCAAGAGUGAAAUCCCACACUUCCGUGAUUCAUGUUUUUAAAAAUUAUUAUUGUUCAAAUAUUCAUCAAGUAAUCACAGGGUACAUAGUAUCGAUUAUAUCAUAGUAAAGUAAAAACUUAAUUAUAAAUUUUUCAAUAUUGUAUAAAUAAACAUAAUUUAACAUUAUUAAAUUUAUGUACCAAAAUAAAGGAUGAUAGUUGCUUUGUAUAAGUUCAUUUUAUUAGUUUAGAGAACUAAUAUUUUAUACUGAAGAAAGAUGUAUAGAUCCAUUUAGAUUACUGGUAUAUAUAUACACACUUCAUUUUAUCUAUAUUAUUCAAGAGAAUGGAAGCAAUGGAAUAUAUUUCCUAUAUUAGGUUUUAUCAAGAACUUCAAAUUCUAUCUUAAUGUAUUUGCCAUAGUGGGUUGUGGUGUUUCAACAAUUAUUUUCAUCUCAGGCACAAUUAGGCAAAUGUGGAACCAUUAUGCUCAUAAGUUUAAUUAUCUAUAAAAUUUAAGUUUAAAUAUCUAUAAAAUUCAUAUUAAUUACGCAUUUUAGUUUCUCAAGUUUUUGACGUUACCAACUUAGAUCCUAAUAAAUUUAAAUUCCUAUUUUGGUACCCAAAUUUUGUAAUGUAGAGCCUCGUUAGUCCUUCUAUAUUAACUCGUCUAUUAAGGCUUCUCAAAUUUGGAUAUAGGAAGGGUUAAUCAUUCUAGAAUUUGGGUACAACUGACGAACAUGUUUAUGGGAAAGGCCCGAAAUGAUAUUUUGUGAAUGGAUGUCCUCUUCACUAUCAAGGAAUUUAGGAAAGCCAAAGAAUAUUAUUUCAGAAAUAGAUCCAAAAAUAAAGAAAAGGAAGAUGUACCCAGAGAAGAGGUGGAUGACACAAAGUAGAAAAAGGAAAGCAGGUGUGAGGUUUUGUUAUAUACAAGUUGAAACUGUCCUAAGGAAUGAAUAAGAUCCAUAUUUGAAUCUCUCACUUUUUAUUUUAUAUUUAUUUACUAAAAACAUGUAGUGAAUGGAUUUUUAUGUAUGUGUUAAGACAAAUUAUGAAGCUUUUCUUGUUUUUGAUGUACACUAGCGGGGAUGCACUUUUGGUUGCACUUUUGGUUUUAUAGUUUGGAGUUUCCUUCAAGACUAAUUUCAGUUGCAUGUGAAAUGUGAACCUAUCUGAAAUGUCAAUUAAUUAGUGUAGUUUUUACAAGUCAAUAAUGAUAUUCAUCUACAUUUAAGCCCAUUCAAAUGGACAAGUUUAUCUUUGUUUUUAUGGUUAUUGUGUAUCUCCAAACCCACCACUCUUUUGAUAUCAUCUUCCUUGAUUAAUUGAAUAGUUUAUGCCUUAGAUUUAUUGUGAUUGUGUGUCAGUAUUUAACAUUUUGAUUAUUAAUUGAUAAUGAUGAGUUUAUUCAUAAUUUUCGGAAUUAUUCUAUUAUUGAGCAUUUGAGUUUAGUCAUAUUAUUUAUAUAAUAAUUACAUUCCUUUAAUGUCAUUCAUCUUAGGUAACACUUUCUUUAUAUGGUUAUUUCUUUAAUAAUGAUUUGGGUGAAGAAAAUGAUUUAGGGUUAAUAUGGUGUUAUAGAAAUUUUGAGAGACUAAAGUGAAUGUUUUUUCUUGUAGUCGGUGAGAGGAAAGAAGAUGAUAGAAAAUAGCAUGGUCUUCUUUUCUCAACACAUCAUUGUUUCGCUAAGUUUCCAAAAUUUGUCAGCUUGAAAUCACCAUGUGUGGCAAUGUCAGCACUUAACGUUCCAUGUGAUCAACUCUGUUAAUAUUAAAACACGAGUGAAGAUGGAAAAACUAAUGUGAUUCUACAUUGCAAAAAUGGGAACUAAAAUGGUAAGUUAAAUUUAUUAAGAACUAAGUCGGUAAUGUUGAACACUUGAGGAACUGAAAUAAGUGAUUACCAUUGAUAUAUGUAUGUUUUGAUAAGUUGAACUUUCCACAAGCAAUUUUAGGCUAUGGAACAUUAUUACUAGUGCUAUACAAUAAUGAGGAUGUUGUUCUAAUGGUACUAAUGCCAUUAAUGAUAUCUUCUAACGGUAUCUACUUUCUAUUAUUAUUACUUGUCUAGUUCUCCAAAGCCAAGUUAGCAUCUAAUGUUAUUUUGAAAUUCAGGAAGUCCUUGCUAUCAUCUAAAUUUUAGAAAUUAUAUGUAUUUUACUUAAAGUUAGCAUCUUUUUUUUUACACGUAAUGUUUAUUUUGUUGCCUCAUUGUAGAAUCUCCAAAAUUUCAUAUUUUACUUCGUCUAGAGCUUACUAAUAUGUUUGUAGACUCAUAAUUGUUUGCAGCACAAGUCUCUGAUGCCGCGUAUUGACUACCAUACUUCUAAUAUAAAGGCUCAAAGCUACCAAGUCCCAACUUGUUAAUGUUGAAUCCAAACGCAAUAAAGUUGUAUUUUACUUAUGAAGAUGGUUGUGACGUUAAAUCAUCAAAAUAAGCACAUAUAAUCAUUAUGGUAGUGUCUUAUCUCCCAUUGAUGAGUUAUGUUAGUAGUGAAUUCCUUUCUCAUCGAUGAUUAUUCUCCUGGUGAUUAUAUCAUUGUGUUCUAUUCCACCGACAUUCAUUCUCGUGGUCACUUUUUUCUUAUCAAUGAUCAUUCCGAUGGUAAUUAUAUCGGUGAUUUCUUUUCUCACCGACAUCAUUUUGGUGGUCUUUUUUCUCACAAUGAUGAAUUAUAUUAACAUUGCCUUUUUUGUGGAGCCCAUAUGAGUAUUCUACUAUUUUCUUUCUUAAAUGAAUUAUGUGUAACAAGCUUAAAGUUUACUAUGUUUGCGCUUGAGGGGAAUGUUAGCUAAUAUUUGGAUAGAAAGAAUAUUAUCUUAUCUAGGAUUUAGUUACUUUCAUUUUAUUUGAUUUUAUCUAUAAUUUAUGUUUAUAUUGUUAAUAAUUAUAUUGGUCUUUAUUAUCUUAUCAUUGUAAUAUAUUUUGCCUAUAUAAUUGAUUGGAUUGUUUCGUCUUUAGUUUGGUCGAUGUUUAUCAUCUUAAAUUUAUGCACUAGCCCCCAACCAUUUUUAAAUGCAAUAUAUAAUUUAUUUUAAAAAAAACAUUAUUUAUUUUGACACCAAUUUCUUGAAAUGUAUACAUUUAUUAUGAUAGUCGAUGAAAAUUAUAUAUUACACACUUUUCAUAACCUUAAUUUAGCAUGAUUGAUGAUUCUUGGUGCCUAAUUGAAUUUGUUUCACAUGGUUUAGCGUUUUAGGCUUGAUUGGACUAAUAUGAGGAUGAAGUAUCUCCUGGUGUGAGGAGAUAACUUCUCUCCUUACACCAGUUAGGCAAUGACACAUAGUUAAUUUUUACCUAUUUUUAAAAUAAAUAAGAAAACUAAAAUUAAAAUAACACAAGUGUCUAUUAAUAAGUGGGUGUGAGGAGAUAACUUCUCUCCUCACAACAGGACAUACUUUAUUCUCAUUCCUAAAAUGAGUUAAUUUGGGAUUAGUUGACCUGAUUAAAUCUAUUAUCAUUUUCAGAUCAUAUUUGACACUAGUGACAUUUUGGGAAUUAUGGAAGUGAAGGAUAUAUGUUGAAGUGGAGAUUGUAUUUUUAUUUUGGGAUUUUCUAUUUGUAAAUUUGGUUUUAGUUUUGGGCCCGUUGUUUAGGGCUCAUUUUCGGUUUUACUCUUUGUAAAAGAGGGAACCCGAAUUCCACUCACAUACUUUACAUUUCCCUCAUUUGGAAACACGAGUCAUUUUUCGUUUUCCCCUCUUUUUGCUCUGCUUGGGUUUCACUUCUUCUUCAUUUUUCCUUUUCAGUUUAUUCUUCCAUUGCCAUGGAAGGAUAAAUUUCUAGACUAAGUUCGUUUGGUAAUGUAUCACAACUCUUGAGGUUUUGUUAUUAAUGCAUUUUCGGUUUCUUUAUUGUUGAUUUCUUCUAUCUUAUUUCGGAAUAUGGGUUGCAUAAUUCCAUUGCUUAGAAACUUGUUCGUUGAGUUUAUCUUCGCUUAGUUGAUAUACUCUCUAGUGUAUGAAUGCUUAGUUCGUGUGAAUUUGUUAAUCGUUUCAUGUUUAUGCUGAUUUUGCUUAGUUAGAGGUUUAGGUUUUGGAACAUUGAAUUGAUUAUCGCUUAGUUAAUUGAUUCUCAACAAAUUUGGAAGUUAACAGUUGGAAUGUGAAAAUAUUUUUUGAAACCGAGGAUUGAAUUAUGAAAAAACGAACCAAAGGGAUUUAGCCAUUUUAUCACAUUGCUUAUUUACUACUGUUUCUGAAAAUAAUUUAUCUUCAUACUAUCCAACAACAAAAAAAACCCUUGUGUGUGUGAGUGUAAGGUGUUUGAAGCUUUACUUGAAAUAUCAUCUUUGGGAAAUGUCGUAGGAGUCACUUUCUAGUACUGCAGUUUUUAAUUGUUAUAUUAUUUGUAUUGGGUAUGGCCUCGAUCAAUAGUCCUUUGAUGUAAGUUAACCUUUUUCAAAACAUUCACUUCAGUCUAACUAAUGUUGAAAGUGUCUUUUCAUGUUCAACAGCAGUUAAUCAGUAAUAAAAUGUAAGGACUCAGAAGAUAGGUGGGUUUGACAAAAAAAUAUGAAUACAUUUUAUAUCUCUCAUAUUGCAGUCCUAACCUUCCCUAAGCGAAUUGAAGGUUGUGAUGAGUUGUCUAAAAUAGAGAACUUGAGAUAGAGAGAUAGUUCAUGGACGAUGAUGGAGCUACCAUGGACUAGGACGGACCACACUGCCAUAAGACAAACCAUGCCACUAUGAUAGGGUAAUAGGCUGUACGAUCGUGGAUUGUGUCUCGUCGUGUCGGCAAGACUCACAUUGACGAGAGAAUGAGGCAAUGAGCAACAAAUCUACAAACUUUGAGCAUCUCAAUGGAAAAUAGAAAUUUCAUUCUUAUUUGGGCUGCACAUUAUUUUAUAAUUGAUUAUACAUUCCUGUUAAUUAAGAAUAACAUCUACCUUUAAUCAAUAAUGAUAAAUAUUAUUCUUAUUCUUAUUUGGAUCCCACAAGGAUUAUAUUUUAAAGAUGUAUUCGAUCCAGCAAGGAUUAUGAUUUAAAGAUGGCUUCCAUUCAUGUCGAGUUAGAACUUUAAAGUUAAAGUAUUAUAUAUGUAUGAGUAAUAAUUAAAUAUGUUAGGAUGAAUUGGAAUGUUCUGGAACCCGAUCUAAUAUUUUUUUAGGAUCAUAUGCUAAAAUUUCAAGUCAACUAACCAAACAAUAAUUUAAUGACAAUUGUGAUGAAAUUAGGUCCAUCUGACAUGUAUCACUAUUAUAAAAUGAGAGAUAUGAAGGUAGAACCAUGCUUGGAGAAGCAAUCUUUUCUGAAAUUAGACAUGCACAUCUUCAAUUUCAUGAUCAAUUGAUUAUACAUAUAUUUAGAUCAUAAAUAAGGAUACAUCCAGAUAAGAAAAGUUGAAGUUAAAUUUAGAGAAUUAGAUAUACUCAUUAAUAAAACAAAUAUAUUUGUGUAAUAUCAAAUUUUAAUGUUAAGGGAGGGCUACACAUGAAUUUUAUAUCAUGAGAUCAAGAGUCCUAUGUACUAUCAAAUAAUAAUAUCUAUUGUUUUCCAGUACUUCUAUCAGAAGUGCUUACAUAGUAAGCCUAGUUCGUUUUAGGAAUCCUCUCUACCGAUCAUGAAAUGCGCAAGGGGAUAUCAGAGAUCGCUUAGUUUUCAUGUAGGAUUAUCCUGGUCAUAAGGAUUAUAAGACCGGACCAUCACCGGACCAUCCCACCUAAGCAAACCCUCAAGGUUUCUUGAUGAGUCACUGUCAUUGCUUCCCAUAUCCAAUUCCCAAUGAUAUUGCUAUCAUCAUAUCUUUCCAUUUUCUCCAACUCCAACUAAAAAUGCAAUGAUGUACACACAAUGAUCAAAGUUAGUCCACUAAGUCUUUUUAUCACUACUGUCUCAAUUUCAAUUUCCAAGAACAUCACCUAAGUUAGUGGUCUCAACCCCAAUAUAAUUUUUUUUAUUAUAUAAAUGUCCUUAGGACGAACUCAAGACAUAACUUAGUGAUCAAAAUCAAUGGAUAAUUUCUCAAUGUCACUACACUUUCAAUUGUGUGAAUAGCCAUAGGCUCUCAAGUAUCUGCAAAUAAUUCUCAUUCACAUAUGAAUUUAAUUAGGAUCAAUAUCACUAUGAUAAGUCAAACAUAGACAUUCAAUACUAAUUAUAGUAGUCCAAUAAUAAUAUAAAGUCAUAUCAGUAAGUCAUCAAUAUCAAACAUAUUAUCAUUCAACCAAGACACAAUAUUUUAAUAUUCAUAACUAAAAUGAUUAAAUGAGGAAGUCCAUAACAAUCAAGACAAUUCACUCUUCAUUAAUCAUUUUAGUCUAAGGAUCCUCCAACUAGUGAGUAUCAUUAAAGACCCCAAUGAUACAUUCUAAUAUCAAUAUGUCUAAUGCUUCUCCUUCACCUGGGUUUACGUAAGUUCCUUAUACAGCAAUUGAAUUAGUUCUCUCGUCAUCUCCUUGGACUUUAGAGUCUUUUCGUAUACACAUGUCAAUAACAACCAAAACAACAAAUUAAAUUCUACUCUACCUAAAACUAAAAACUAGUCUAUUAUUGAUCACUAAUUUAUAAAAAAAUACGAACUUGGAGUUUCAGUUUAUAUCAAUAGAAAUACAUAUAUACCACACCAUGUUAGUAAACAAUAAAUAAGUAACUAUAUACUUUUACUAUUUAGAAUUUCAAAACCAAGAACAAUAUAAAUAUAUGUGUAGUAUAUAUAGUAUAGAAUAUUUGUGUUGAAACUCUAUAUUAGACAAUAAAUUAAUAGAUAAAAUAAAGUAUUGGUGAAUAAUGGAGAAUGAAGAAUAAGUGGAGAAUGAAGAAUAACUAGCGAAUGAUUAUGCCGUAUGAACAACAAACAAAAUAAAUGUAUGAGAGGUAAACCAAAUGUAUGAGGAAUAAAUGAAGAAUGAAGUCACGCACAGAGUAGUUUUUAUUCAAAAUGGUUUUGUAACCACAGAUCCUGCGUAACUUUAAUUGCCUUGGCACAUAGCAUAUGAUUAUUUAUUUUCACAAUCACGUCACAAUAAUAGAAGAAAAUAAAACAAAUUCUUCCUUUAUUGAAUUCAAAGAACAGAAGAAUGAAAAAAUGGUUACCGUGUUCUUCUCUUUCUCUUCUACAAACUGCAGUUUGAAAGUGUAGUUUUUGUUGAUGUUGUUGUUCUUAUUGUCUCCCCACUCAGCAUGUAUAUCUUGUUAUUACCAAUUAGGUUAAUGUUCUACUUAAAAUUAAUUUUAAAUUUUAUUCUUAUCAAAAUAAUAAAAAUCUGUUUUAUCUCAAGAUAACUAAGAUANNNNNNNNNNNNNNNNNNNNNNNNNNNNNNNNNNNNNNNNNNNNNNNNNNNNNNNNNNNNNNNNNNNNNNNNNNNNNNNNNNNNNNNNNNNNNNNNNNNNAUAAACACAAAAUUUUAAACCCUAAAUCGUGUAUCUUCACCUCAAAGUUUCACCCCCAAAUAAUUUUAGUUCUCUUAAGGAUAAUUUGGAUACAUCAAGGGUUAAUGCUUCUCGAAUUUACAAACAAAAUUGUAAUUGCGAACUAUGAUGGGUACAACUGAGGAACAUGUUGAUGGAAAAGGCUCGAAAUGAUAUUCACAAAAAGCUAAAUGUGUGGAAGUUUUCUUCAUUAUCAAGGAAUUUAGAGAAACCAAAGAAUAUUAUUGCGAAGAUAGAGUUCAAAAUAAAGAAAAGGAAGAUCUGCCUAGAAGAGAUGUGGCUGACGCAAAGUAGAAAAAGGAUAACAGGUUAGAGAUUUUGUUUAAUACAAGCUAAAACCAUCCUAUGGAAUGAAUAAGAGACAAAUUUGAAUAUCUGAAUUUUAAUUUUAUAUUUGUAUUUAUUAAAAAGAAUGAGUGGAUGAUUUUUUUAUGUAUUAGUUGAUACCAAUUAUGAAGUUUUUGUUGUUUUUGAUGUACAUUGGUGGAGCUGCACUAUUAAUUUUACUAUUUGGAGUUUCCUUCAACACUAAUUUCAGCUGCAUGUGAAGUACGAACAUGUGUGAAAUGCUAAUUAGUUACUAUAGUUUUUAUCAGUCACUAAUAAUAUUCAAUAGCAUUUAAGGCCAUUUAACAUAAUCAUUUAACCAUUACGAGUUAUAUGUUGCAAGUAAAAUAUUUAUAUUAAUAAAUAUAUAAUAUUUACUUAACAUAUGUAAUAAUUAAUAUAUAGUUUAAUUAGUAAAUCAUUGGUUAAAUUAUAUGUUGGUUAAGGAUUCAAACAUAAAACUUGAUAAUUGUUUAUAACAUAGUUAGUCAUUUAACCAUUAUAACAUAGUUAUAUGUUGUAAAUAAUAAUAUUUAUAUUAAUAAAUAUAUUAUGUUUACUAUAAUAUAUACAAUGAUGAAUCUUGAUGCAAUGUUUAGGGGACAACAAUAUUUAAAUAUAAUUGAAAAUUAAGAUUAGCUGAAUAACAACAAAAUAUGAAGAUUUAUACAUAAUUUUUUCAAAGAUUCAAAAUAACAUAUUAAUUCUAAAUAACAAUAAUAAAAAAUUAAAGACGUUAAAAUAAUUUACAUUCAUUUAAAAUGUCUUAAACUCAGUUGCAAUUAUAAAAUUUACACCAUAAUAGCUAAGAUUAGACGAACAACUCAAUCAAGUAAAUAAUAUGCAUUUAUUUUUCCCAUAUCGUCAAAGUUGCACUUAAUUUACAGAUGAUUGUAAGCUUUUCAAACAUAAAUUCCUAACGAAAUCAAUAAUAAAAUGUUGACAUUAACAUCUCAAGCUAAUCUUAUCUUGCUCAUUGAAAUUUAUAAGGUAAAUGUUUUUCAUAAAAAUACACAUGUUAUCUAUAUCAAAUGAUUUAUAAAAAGUCUUACGAUCUUAGAAUUUUUAGGACAAAGUUUGUCAAAGAUAAUCUGUUAUCCUUGUAAUCUAGUUUCUAAGUACAAAAUCCUCAUAAGCAAUAUCAAAAUCUACACAUAUAAGAAAAGUUGAUUCAUUAUCUAAAACUUUUAGAACUACAGUAUUGUAUAUGUAUCAAACUAAAAAUUGAAAACAAAGUGAGCUACAUGAGUAUUUUCUUGAAGAAAACAUUUGUGUGUAGCUAAAAGUAAAACAAUUAUAAUUUAAUUAAUAAAUUUAGGAAAAAUAUUCAAGGGUAGUUGCCCUUACGUGUCAAAACAAAUAUUCGUCUCUCUGUGUAUAUAUGGUAUAGUUUAAUUAGUAAAGUAUUAGUUAAUCGUUGUAUCAUCAUACCAAUAAAUAUGACUGUUAUAAUAAACAAUAUAAUAUUUAUAAUACUAGUAGAAGGUAUUUGAGGGUAUUAAAAAAAAUGGGUCUUCUGUUUGCCAUGAAAAAUUUCAGGAUCAUUUUUGGCCAUAUUUUCAAUAACCCUAUAACUCAGAUACACGCAACACAUCAUGUUCCACUAUUUUUCGUUGGUCUCCACAAAAUCAAACCCUCCACUUCUUCAUCUCUCCUCAAUCUUCACAAAAAUUUCACGUUUGAACCACUACUCAACAACCUUAUUCUUCUCUCAGAUAUCGAUUCUUCACAUAUCAUCCUAGAGGCACGUUUUUUUAAUGGUGUUAUCCUUUGGUUAUUUGAAGUAUUAUUGGAAUUUAUUAAUGUUUUUUUCAUUUCAUAAAUGAAAUGAAUUUGAUAGAAAUAGUUAGUUGUCUAUAAUGGUUUUAGUGAACUUGAUUGAAUGUUUACUUUGAGUUUUGAAUUUGUUUGUUCACUAUUGAAUGGAUUUAAUUAGUAUUUUUGUAUGUUUUCAUCUACUUUAGUUGUUUGUGAACUCCUCCAUAAAACAAGCUAUGAGUCUUUUUUUUAGUUAUUUAUAUUUAUGAUGUUAGAAAUGCGUUGAUCAUAUUUGUUGUUGAUAUAUGGAGGUUUUCGGGGUCGUCGAAACUGUAUCAUGACCACUAAUGCAUCAGUCGCAUCUUUUCAUAAUUGUCUGAAUUGUCAAUGUUUUGGACAGUUCUGAAACCACUACUACAACCAUGAUUUAAAAUCUUGUUUCCCACUAUCUUGAUGUGAAAAUAUUAAUGUUAAAGUAUUAUUACUGUAAGGCAGAAAGAGAGUCACCCUCCCUACCACGAUAAAGUUGCUUCAUAAUGAUCAAGAGGUCAUUGGUUCAAAAAUCAUGGGCAUAGUCUUUCAUCACUUCUAGGAUAAGGCUGCACAAAUGGCCAACGCUAAAAUUUGAACUGGAUGUUAGUUCGCCUCAAUGUGAAGUAUGACUUAGUCGUUAGAUUAAGAAAUGUGGUAUCCACUUACCAUUUUGGCAUUUUCAGAAGUCGUGAAUCCAACGUACAACUUCUGUAUAGAAGUCACGACACCCUUUAAUGACUUAUUGGUGUGUUAUUUAUAUUGUUUAGAAGUUGAAUUUUCAAUGUACGACUUCUGAGUGUGUUAUUUUUGAAGUAUAAAAGUAGUUAUUUCAUUUAACGACUUCUGAAUUUGUUAUUUUUUAAGUGUACAAGUCAUGAUUUUCUUUAACAUCUUCUACAAGCAAUUUCAAAUCUUUCACUAGAGAUUAACCACUACUCAAUCGAAUGGCUAAUAAUGCAGUUCGCAUGGAUGCGAACUAACUUGCAGUUUGCAAGUUAGUCUAUGCCUACAUAAAUAUAUUAUUUUGAAACUCCACUAAGUGAGAUCUCAUGUACUAGAUCAUCCUAUUAUUAUUAUAAGUGGAAUGUGCACUCUGAUUGACUUGUUAACAUUUGCUUAAUAAAUUUUUUCAGCACUUACUAAUAGCUAUGGCCUAUGUACUGAAUUUAUGUGUUGCAAUGUUGCAAUGUCAAAGUUGCCUAUGUGUGUUGUUGAUGAAAAUUGGGAUAUGGGUAUAUAUUGAUUGAAUAGUUCUAGCCAUAACUCAAUAGGUAUAUAAAGAUAGUUUGGUAUAAAUUAAAGAUUUUUUAGAGGUAAUUCAAAAAUGGAUAAAGUGAUACUCUACGCUUAGUGUUUGACCCCUACAUUUAUUGUAUGACCAAACGUAGCUCUGAUGCCACUAAUAGUAUUUAAGGAAAGGGAAGGUUUUAGUAGUGAAAAUAGAAGUGGAAACUUAGAUAAUACAAAAAAUUAAUUAGAUUACAAUCGCUAAUAGUUGGCUUUUGGAGCUACACGACAAAACAAGCUCUAGAACAACUAACAAUGCUUUGCUUCUUACUUAUAAGCUUUCUACAACACAUAUGUCUAGGUAGUUCCAUAAAUUUCUUAUAUUACAUUUUUCUCAAUAUUUUUAGAUACUUUUAUGAUUAUUUUACUAAGUUCCUAGAAUAUAAUACACUAGAAGUUUAGGAUAAAUUUAGAUAUUAGGAUACAACAUCAUCACUUGUUUCUACACAUCUGUAGAAACUUUUAGAAAAUGUUCAUCAAUAUUUUAACAAAAAUAAGUCAUUUUUGAAGAAUGCAUGCAAUAAUUGCCUACUCAACUGCGAAGCCUUGAUAUCCUCCAUAUUCAAUAAAUCUCAAAUUUGAUCUCAGACACUUUGGAACAUUGAUUGCUUAUAUAUUUAAGAAAAUGAUAACCAACAAGUGAAAAAGGGUUGUAGAACAAAGUCUAGAAUGCAUUGUAUUUCAGAGAAGCAUCAAGGGGUGGUGUAAUUUACACUUCUAUUAUUAAAUAUUAGGAUAACCCCUUUUUACAUUUGUGAUGACUUGUCCAUGCUUUUCUAGAUUUUAAAACUUCCCAUUCUUGAGUGAGAAUUAUUUCCUAUAUUGGAGAGGGAUUUGGUAUUUUUGCUUUAAGUUUUGAAGGGUAAAAAUAUUAUCUUACUAUAAAAAAGAUAUAUGUGACAUUGCAUUUUGCUUUUACUUUAUUUAUCACAACACUUUCCUUUCGGGUACUAGAGAGGAUUCUAACUUUAAUUAUUUAACUUAAAAUUUUCACAACGCCAGAGUUGCCAUUCAACAACGCUUAUUUUAGAUGUAUAACAGCACUUUCUGGUGCUUCCUGUUUGAACGCAGUAGUAUAUGGUCAUCAUUAACAGCGCUUCACAAACGUUGUUGUAUUGAUUAUAUACCAAAGAGCACUACACAAAGCGUUUUCAUAUAGUGGAUCAAUACAACAAUGCAGCGUCCACAAAACACUGUCAUAUAGUGGAUUAAUACAACAACGCAUCGUCCAUAAAGCACUGUCAUAUAGUGGAUCAAUACAACAAUGCAUCGUCCAUAAAGCACUCUCAUAUAGUCUUAAAUAAUUAGCGCAUUUUAUAGGUCUUAUUAACAGCCCUUCUACCUGUACUAUUAAAGUUUAUAUAUUUAACAGUGAAAUAACAAAAAAGCGCUGUUGUAUUAUUUAUAAAUUUUCUCAAACAACACGUUAAAACAACUGCGAAUCGCAUGCAUAACGCUGUUGUAAAUGAAUAGCUCAUCUUUAUAUCCUGGCCUAUUAAGAUCCACUUGCAUGAACACUAACCCACAUACAAUAAAACACUGGCAUCCUAAACAUUGUGUAAUCCAAUUUCCAUAUGCAUUCAAUCACUCCAAAGUAUGACAUGUUCACAUAUAUUGGGUUUCUAUCUUUUUGGCACUUGACAUUUGUAAAGUUCGAGCAACAAGACUCACACCAUUGUUUUGCAUUUUACUUUGAUCAUCUUGUUUUUUCUUAUAAAAUGCGAACCCAUUAAUCAGCUAACCAGUGUAGGAUAAGACAUGAAGGCUUGGACCAUUGGCUAACCAUUUCAAUCUUUAGAAAACAGAAUGUGCAUUUAUAUCCAACUCCUCAUCAAUGUAAUUUUUUAGCCACUUUAUGAAACAUCGAUUAUGCUCUUUGGAAAUCCAAUUUUCAUUCUUACUUGGGUAACACUUCCUUAGCAUCUCCUUGUGUGGUUCAGCAUAUGGCUCAACCUCAUCGGUAUUAUGUAAAACAUAUAAGUGCGAUUGCUCAAAUUCGGUUCUUGUUAUAGUCAAUAUUUCAUUCCCAGUAAUACAUUAACCAAAUGUUUUUUUUUGGAUAUUGAGGCUUUAGAAUGUCCAUGAAAUCACCAUCGGUAAGAUAUCUGGUACAAAAAUCAAGAGCUUCUUCAAUAACAUAUCGCUCGACAAUACAACCCUCUGGUCUUGAUUGGUUCUUCACAUACCCUUUUAAUGUCUUCAUAUAAUUCUCAAAGGGGUAAUCCAUCUCAUAUAGGAAGGGUCACAUACUUGUGUCUCUCGAACAAGAUGAAAGCUUAGAUGAACCAUUAUGUAAAAUAAAGAAGGUGGAAAACACAUUUCAAUCUCACACAAAGUGAAAAUAAUUUGUCUUUGCAAUGCAGGUAAUAUCUAAGGGUCAAUCACUUUUCUACAAAUUGCCUAAAGAAGAAGCAUAACCUAGUUAUGGUUCCUCAAACUUUUUAAGGUAGAAUUGGCCGUAUUUCAAUAGGCAAGAAAUGCUCCAUAAGUACAUGACAAUCAUGAGAAUUAAGACCUUUUAACUUGAGGUCUUUCAUUGAUACGAGGUUCUAAAUGUUGGAAGAGUACCCUUCUGGAACUUUAACACCAUGAAUAAAUUUACAAAAUUCCACUUUCACAUUCCUCGACAAAGUAUAAGCUACUGGAGGUAGAAAUGUACACUUUCCCUUCAUUAUCGGCCCCAAUUCCUCUCUUAUUCCCAUACUAACCAAGUCCAACCUUGCUUUCAAGCCAUCUUUGGUCUUACCAGGGACAUUGAGUAAGGUACCAACGAGACUUUCAAACACAUUUUUUCCAAUAUGCAUAACAUCGAGGAAAUGUCUUACAUAUAAUGAACUCCAAUAUGACAAUUCAAAGAAGAUUGACCUUUUCUUCCACCCCUUUGUGACAAUUUCUUUCGCAAAAGGUUUACCAAAGUUAGUAUUCAAACCCUUUAGUUAUUGAAAUAAUUGGUCACCUGUCAACAGCAAAGGAGCACGACCUUCUUCAUUGUUACCAUCAAAUGCUUUUCUCCAUCAUCGAUAGUGAUGAUCUGAAGUAAAAAAUGUAUGAUGGACAAGGAAGACAUUUUUAUUAUAGUGUUCCAACCUCAUUGAAUGAAUAUUGUCUUCACAUACAGGACAUGCAAAAUGUCCUUUUGUACAAUAUCCAGACAGAUUACCUUAUGUAGGGAAAUUACUGAUUAUGUCGAACAACUGUUCAAAGUUUAUUUUGUACUAUAUGCAAAAUGUCCUUUUGACCAUGCUGACUGGGACGUGGCCUGGUGCUUGCUGAUCUUGGCAGGAGUCUGGUUCUCCAAUGAGCUGCUUGGUUACACCGCUAAGCUGCUUGUUGAGCAGCUUGGGCAUGUGUCAAGCUCGUAUCUGAUUGUGUCAAGCUUGAGUUCUACUGUGUCAGUUAUAGUCUCGUGCUAGGCUGAGCGGCCAAGCAAGGCCGCUCAGCUGCUUGCUUGAGCAGCUUGGUCCAGGUCAGCUUAGCGUGGCUUGGUCCAUGCUCAACUGCCUACUUGAGCACCUUGAUUUUGACUUCUCUUUCUUUUCGACCAUGAGUCUUUUUUUCCUCUUUUCUUCUUCUUUCUAAAUCCUACAAAACACAAAAAAAGAAAUACAAACACAAAUAUACAAGAUUGUGAUAUUUUAUACAAAAAGUAUUGUUUUAAGUUGGUUUUCUACAAUUUGCAUAGGAUAAGUGGCAUAAAAUGAUGGUGAAAAGUGUAUACUUUUUGCACUUAUCAAACUCCCGCCAACUUAAAACUUUGUUUGUCCCCAAAAAAAGGUAAAAUAACAACCACUUGGCUUUGGAAAAAGUAGGUUUGUAAAAGAUCAAAACUUAUGCAUGAUUCCUUUUAAGUUCCAUGAGAUGUGUUUAUGAUUAUGUGACUUGGACUCAUAAUGCUUCAAACUAAGAAUUGAACACAUCUUUUCAAAAAAUCAUUUAGUAAUUCACAAAUUAAAAAUGUUAUCAAUCAAAGAGAUGAAUUUCACACACGGUUCAAGAAUGAAACCAAAUGGGGUAAGUGUUUCACUCAAAACUCAACUUGUUUGAUUUGCAAGAAUUUAAUUUUGUUUUUCAUCUCAACACUUACUUUGAUUGCACAAAUUUUUCAAGAAUCACUAAGGUCUUAUUUAGGUUGUAAUGAGGCUUGGCUAUCAAAGGAAAUUGGUUUUUCAAGAUAUUCAAAGAUACUUUCAAAGUUAAAAGAGAGGAAAAAUUAAUUUUUCAUUAAAAACAUAUACUUCUUUCAACUUUUUUCCAUUUUUCCUUCCCUCAUUCUUUUUCUUGACCUUUUUGUGUAACUUCUCUUUAAUUUUCUCAAUAUCUUUUCACUCCCUUUUUUUGGAUCUUUUUCUUUACCUUUUGAUUUGUAAAGAGAUUGAGAAUUUUUCCUUGAACACUUUGUUACAUGGCCAACCAUUCCCCCCAACUUAAUUUCUUCCAUCAACCUUCCUUUAGAAAAAUGCUCUCUUUUUACUUAGAAAAGUAUAGGAGAUUAUUUUUGUUUUUCCAUAUUAGGCUCUAGGGUUGAUUUUGAAAAUAAAAUUUUAUUUUAAGGCUCAAAGGGGUUAGAAAAGGAUAUUCCUAUUUUUGGUUGGUCAUUUUUGGUCAAGUGGCUCAUUCUAAUUGAAAGAACUUGCCUUGAUCAUAUCUUAUCAAAUUGUGUGCAACCAAGUAAAGAAAGAUUAAAACAAAAUCAAUUGUGCAAAAAACUUUCUCACUAAGUUCACAUAAUUAUUGUGUUUAGCUUACACUCCCUCACAAGGUUGGUUUAUAUACAACUCUUUGAUUUUAAACAAAUUCACAAGGUCAUGAUAAAUGAUUUUCCAAAAAGUUUGCAUUUUAUCCAAGUUAUAACAUUAUGAAUUAUUCACANNNNNNNNNNNNNNNNNNNNNNNNNNNNNNNNNNNNNNNNNNNNNNNNNNNNNNNNNNNNNNNNNNNNNNNNNNNNNNNNNNNNNNNNNNNNNNNNNNNNUUUGUUUAGUUUCAACAAAUUCACUUUUUAAAUAAACCUUCAAAAAUAAACACACUAAAAAAUAAUUUUAACAAGUAAGCACACUAAAAUUAAAAAUAAACAUACUAAGGAAUUAAAAUACAGCAGAAACAGUAUAAAGUUAUAAAAUACAACAAAAUUUCAUGCUUUCAAAAUGUUACACACAUUCCCCCGUACUUAAGUACUUGACUUGUCUCAAGUCAAAAAAAAUAUUUUUAGGAAGUUUGUAUAAUAUUUUGAAAGAAUGAAAAAGAAAAUUAAAACUAACCACCAUUUUUAGGAGAACACAAAAUUUCAUUCUCCUUGUUUUCACUAUCCUCUCCUAGAUAGUGGUGCCAUCAACUCCUAGUUUUUGUCUAUUUGUUUGGACUUGUUUUCCUCUAAAUCAUUUCGAACUUACAAUUUUCUUUUGCUUUAAUGGUAGUCCAACAAUUCACAUGAAUUUAUAAUUUCCUAAGAAACUAAGUUCAUGAAUUAAAUUUGAUUUAGAGAAUUCCAACCAAACAACAUGGGGUUUCCUGAAAAUUGAUGUUUAGAAAAAAAUUUCAACCAUAUUUCAAAUCCAAGUGAUAAAAUGGAAGUCCAAACAGAAUUUAUGGAACUUGAAAAUACANNNNNNNNNNNNNNNNNNNNNNNNNNNNNNNNNNNNNNNNNNNNNNNNNNNNNNNNNNNNNNNNNNNNNNNNNNNNNNNNNNNNNNNNNNNNNNNNNNNNAAAUUAAUUUGACAAUUUCAAAAUCAUUUACUAAGGCAUGUUGAUGGAGAUGUUUGGUUAAAGUAUCACAAGAUAAAAUAUCAUCAUCAAAAAGUACAUGGUGAAUAUUUAACCUUUAAGGAUUCAAGUGGCUUCCCUUCUUGAAGAAAAAGUCCAACCACUAAUCCUUGUUUAUUUCAAUCCCUUUUAUGUUGUUCUUUAUGAAAAAUUUGAUGAGGGGCACAUCCACAUCUCCUAACUAGUGGGUUUUCACUCCACUAAUUCACUUUUUUUCUUUGAGUUUUUAAUUUUUUAAAAUGUACAAAACAUAAAAAUAAAGAUGUGUCAAAGAAAAAAUAAAUUUAUACAAAAGAGAAAGAAAAUUAUAUGCACAAUUAUUUGAUAAAUGACAUAUGAAUAUGAAAUGUUCUAUUAUUAAAGGAAUUCCCCGGCAGCAGCGCCAAUUUGUUGAAGGUUAAUUUUGAGGAAGGAAGGUUUAGGUUUUCCCUUUCUCAUUUCGGUAUGUUUUUUUAUUUGAUUAAGUAGGUGAACUCGAUUUUAUUCUUUGUUCGUCAUCUCGGCUUUGUUGAAAUAAAUGCCAACGCCGGUAUAAUGGUUUCAAGAAUAUUCCAGUUACAACUUACUUCUAAUAAUCAUGUAAAUAAGUUAUUACUUCUUUGCCCCAUCUCGGCUUUGUUAGAAUAAAUUCUAACGUUGGUAUAAUGGUUUCGAAGCAAUCCCCUAUUACAUAGUUACCUUUGAAUACCAUCUCGGUUUUGUGGAAUAAAUUCCAACACCGGUAUAAUGGUAUUCAAAUGUCCAAAAGUGAUGAAUAGUUAGUUGUCAGAAACAAAUAAAUAAAUAAAGAACCAACAAAUAAUAAAUUUAAGUGACCUUUAUUUAUUUACUCCUUUUCGGGUUUCUUUUAUUAACAAACCCAACUUCUUCCGUAAGGAAAGUUGGUAUUAAAGACUAAAUAAAUGGUGGAAUGUAAACAACAAUAAAUAAAAGUUAGUAAGUUAGCUUCAUCACUUUUGUAUAUUAAAAGGUGUUUUCAACAAAUAAAUUUAUUGAUACCACUUUACUAUUUUACAAUUUACACCUCUUUCAGGAUUCAAUUGUAGUAUAGUAUAGGGUUAUGUUGAACGACAACAAAUUUCCUAAUAGAAUGAAUCAUAUGAAUAUGUUAAAUCACAAAUAAUGAAUAAACAUAUUUUGAUGGUUUUUUGUUGUUUUGCACAUAAACAAUUUAACAAGAAAAAUAAACUACAUAUUAACAAAUUCUUGAGGAGACAAGAUCAUUUUGAAUAAGGAAAAUAUUUCUCAACUUCUUUAUGAAUUUGAACUACUUAGACAAGUUCUUAUGUUUUACUUUGAUUAACUCCAAACACCAAGUUCUAAAAUCCUCCUUUUAGUGUAUGUUCUAAAAUGGUAGAAUAAAAUCACUUACAUUUAUUACUAAACAAUAUUACGUCCACAAAGAGAUUAGGNNNNNNNNNNNNNNNNNNNNNNNNNNNNNNNNNNNNNNNNNNNNNNNNNNNNNNNNNNNNNNNNNNNNNNNNNNNNNNNNNNNNNNNNNNNNNNNNNNNNUUUUUAGGUGAUCAAUCUAAAAAAGAUAAUUAAGAAUUUCUCAAACAAGUAAAAUUAAUCAAAGCACCAACUUGAAUGAUUAAAAUUCAAAUCUUUUAGAAUAUAAGAAGAACUAGAAAUACAUAACCAUAUUCAAAAGCAAUUUUUAGGAGCAUGAGCCAUCCAUCCAAGGAUUGGAUGCUUUGAGUUCCAAAUGAGAUUUCAAAAUUAAUUUUUGCAUCUCAUUUGCCUUCUCCUUUUCUCCUAUUAAAUUAUCAACUAAAAUUACAAAACUUACUUAAAUAAAGUUCCUAAGAGCUAAGAACAAGAAGAGAGAACUUCAGAAAAGAAUUUCUACAAUUUUCAUGUUAAGGAGGGCUACACAUGAAUUUUAUAACACGAGAUCAAGAGUCCUAUACACUAGAAUUCUACAAUUACAUGGACCAAUUCUUCUUCCCUAAAUUAUGUUUAACCAUUACAAUAUUUUGGUUUGAAAUGAACAUAUAGUUGUAUCAAAUUAUUAUUGGCCCAUGUCUUAAAUCGAAGAGAGAAUUUCCAAAGUCUUUCCUAAAACUCAAUGCAUGUAGGUCUUAGAAAACUAGAUAUUUUACGCAAUACAACCAAUCACUCCCCCCUAUAUUUCCUCAGUCAUCCAUUUCAUUCAGAAACAUCUUCCCCAUAACAUGAAAAACCUCCUCCACUAUAGUUGAUCAAGCUAUGUUGUCCCAGUCCAUAGCCCUUCCCUUAUUUUUUCUUCUAGAUAAAAUAAAUAGCUUAGGACUAUUAUGUCCUGCAAUGUGUGCAUCAAUGUGUUCUAAGGACUAGUAGGUGGUGCAAUGUGUGCAUCUUAAUUAGAUUCAUCAUGAAACAUUUUAAAAUUACCACAAAAUGAUCGACUCUUAUGUGCAUGUGUGUUUAAAUGUAGUCGUACAUUUCAUACCAUUGGAUAGUCCAUAAUGAUAUUUAUAACUUUACCCUCCUACAAAGAAAUAUCAUCCACAUGAAGAAUAUUUCGAGAUUCUUGAAGCUUCCAAUUUUUUAUUAACUCAAGACUAAGAUUUAUAUUCUUCUUUACCAUGAGUAACGAAUUGUAAUUUUAAUUUUAUACAAUAUUCAAUCAGGCUAUUAUGGACUAAUAUCCUAGACUUAUUCCACCUAGAAGAAAAUGGAAUCAUAUUAAACUUCGGAUUUUUAUUCUCAAGAUUCAAAAUUAUUAAUAACCUCCCACCUAUUGACGAUGAAACUUUGAAAUUUUUAACUUUUAUUUGGCAAGUUUUCUUGUAUGUGAGUUGUGAAUAAUAGUCCCACAUAGGUUAUUUUUUUAAAAAAAAAUCUCAUUUUAUUGGUAUAAAAGGAAAUGACUUCUAAGCGAUUGAAUCAUCAAACUAUCUUAAACUUCGGCCUAUCACUUCUUUUCGGCCAAAUUUUUCAUUGUUUAAUUUUUUUAUUUGGUUUCUCUUUGAGGGCUGCUCCUUGGUAGUUCAUUUUGUAUAGAAAAAUAUACAAGUUCAAUAAUAAUCUAGGUAACUAUAUUCCAUCAUUUCUUCUUAUUUCUACCAUUUCUUUAUUUAAAUGACUUACUAUAUUGGGAUGUAUUUUAUUUUUUACUCUAUUUUAUAUGUGAACUUAAUAUUUAUCUGAAAUUGUUUAUUUCAUAGGUUACAUACUUUAAUAAGUUUCUAAUGGAUUUUAUUUUGGGACAUAAAAAUAUAUUUUGCAAUAUCAUAAUGAUAUUUUAUAUAAAGUUUUAGAACAAUUAAAAUGAAGUCAUCCCCAUAGUAAUGUGAUUCAUAUAUUCAAAUAUUCAUCAUGUAAAUAUUCAAAUUAAAAAGGAUGUACUAUAAUAUCAAGUAAUACAAAAUGAGUUAUGAAUUUAAUUAUUUUAAAAUUUUAAUUAAAAAUUUGUCAAUAUUGUAUAAAUUGUAUCGUUUAACUUUAUUAAAUUGUAUAAGUUUAUUGAAAAAAGAUGUCUAGAUUCAUUUAGUUUAUUGUUUUAUAUAUACUUCAUUUUAUUUAUAUUAUGCAAGAAACUGGAAUAAUAGAAUAUAUCUCUUGUACUUUGAAAAAAGAUGUAUAGAUUCAUUUAGUUUAUUGUUUUAUAUAUACUUCAUUUUAUUUAUAUUAUGCAAGAAACUGGAAUAAUAGAAUAUAUCUCUUGUACUAGGCUUUAUCAUCAACUAGGAAUUCUAUCUUGAUGCAUUUGUUACACAGUGUAGUGGUGUUGCAACUAUUGGUUUUCAACUCAGGCACAAUAAGGUAAAAUGUGGAAUUAUUGUUCUAGUAAGUUUAAUCAUCUAUAAAAUUUAAGUGUAAUUAUAUAUAAAAAUGAAUAAAACUCUCAUUUCAAUCCCUCAAUUUUUGAUGUUACUAACUUAGUUCCUAAUAAAUAUAAAUUACCAUUUUGGUCCUAUUCUUUUUCAAAACAGAACCACAUCAACCCUUCAUUCUUCACCCGUUUGAUAACGUUAAUGGAGUUGAUCAAGUGGCACGUUAAGUGCUGACAUGACCACAUGUGGUGAUUCCAUGCUCGAAAGUUAUCUUGCUCCUACAUAUCCCUAGAUCCAAUAGAGAAAUCAAGACUACAUAGUUCGGUUUGAAAAUGAUUAGAUUAGUUCGGUUGACUUUUGUUGAUUUGGAAAAUAUCGAUGAAUUUAGUGGAGUUGAUUUUAAUUGAUUUUGAAAUAUUCAUAAUAUAUCAUUGUUUUAAUUCAAUGGAACUAAUACUUCCCAUUUUUAGAGAAGUUUGAGACGACUCGAACUAUUACUAUAAAAAAUCCGCAAAAUUCAGUAAGUGAAAAGAUAGUUUGGAAUUAUUUUAUAUGAAAUUAAUAGCUUUGAGGCGUAGACCUUUUUCCCAUUUUCAGAGAAAUUAGAUAUGACUAUAAUCAUGACCUUACUAUAAAAUUCCAUAAAAUUCAUUUAGGAGAUAAAAUCAUGUUUAAUUAUUUUUUUAUAUGGAACUAAUAACUUAGAGGCAGUAUUGGUCGUGGACCUUCUUCCCAUAAAAUUUGUUAUUUAGUCACACUUUGUAACAUUAUAUGUAAUGAUAAUUAGGACUCAUGUUAGUUGUGUGGCCUAUUGUUAUUUCCUAACGAGUUUGCAAACAUAAAUAAAUAAAUAAAUCAAUAAAUUAAUAUAAAGUUGAGAAAAUAACAAACUUGAUGGUGUAGGUCGUCAGGAAGCUAAAAAAAACAUGGCUUUUGUGAGGUGCAAAGAUUUGGACAAAGUGGUAUGUGGGGCCUUCUAGGUGACUUGCUAAAAAACUUAUGUGUAGCUGCUGGACUUUUUAGCAAUAUGUGAAUGAGUUCUUUAAUUGUAUGAGCCAGCAAAACACACAACUCCUUUAGCAGUGGGUAACAUCUUCUACAUCUUAGUCGUAAACCUCGUCCAUAUAUUUGCCUGAUAGAGAUAGUGACAGUGCUUUGCUCCAGUGGAAUGAAACACAUGGGAUAUCCACCAAAAGUCUGGUUCAUAUGCAUAAAUUGUGGCCCCAAGUUCGGAAAAGAAAACAUUUUGGGGGUUGACCCAUGUUUUGUUGUGAGUGGCUUACCCGUGAAGCAGUGGUGGGUAUAGUGGUUGUUGGCUUUGUUAUUGGUAUGGAAAGUGGUGUCCGAAACUUGUCCAUUGUAGGAAUGGAUGAAGUGUGGUUUUAAGGGUUUUUUGUUUAGUAAAGUGAGAGUGAAAGUUUAUGAAGGUAGUAUAAAAAGGGGUUGAGGCAAUGGAACAAACACAAGAUUUAAGGUGAGCAAGACAAAUACUUCAAAAGAAAUUGGUAAGAAGGAAAAUUAAGAUGAGAAUUGAGAAUAGGAAAGAGACUCCAUUCUAUGAUACCAUGGGAUGUAACAAUAUCAAAAGGAAUAUUUCAUUUGAUCCAUUUUAGGUAGAGAUGUUGAUGUGAGUGACAUGGAUUAAAGUGGAGGACAAGUAAGAACCCUAUAAAAUCAAAGAUGGUGGCACCAUGUGAGGACUGCCAAAA
RNAcentral lists this long non-coding RNA (55669 nucleotides) under Lupinus angustifolius (narrow-leaved blue lupine). RNAcentral's name for it is "long non-coding RNA (LANG_LNC003705)". The record is from RNAcentral. Lineage: Eukaryota; Viridiplantae; Streptophyta; Magnoliopsida; Fabales; Fabaceae.